This 68285-nucleotide long non-coding RNA is filed under the name Coffea arabica (coffee). RNAcentral describes it as "long non-coding RNA (CARA_LNC000020)". Lineage: Eukaryota; Viridiplantae; Streptophyta; Magnoliopsida; Gentianales; Rubiaceae. The record is from RNAcentral.
UUUUUGGGAAUUUAUAAAAGAUUAAUGCAGUUGAAAAGUUUGAAUCUUGUGACAUUGUAUUAGUAUGGGAGUUCUGAGGGACUAUGCUGUCAGGUGAUAAGAAAGUCAAGACUUUACCAAACAAAAAGAAAUGCAAGUCAGACUUUCAAUGUUGAUUCUCGUGUUCAAAAAUUUAGAUACCAUUUUGUUGUUAUAAAGCGUCCAACUCUUUUAAAAUAGAAAUGUGAAUUUCAAGGUUUCGAUCUUGAAGUUUUGCUUUUGUGACAGACAGUAAAGUUCUUUUAGGACGUAUACAAGUUGAAACUAAUGAAAUUCAUUUCAGGGCCUGGGGGUUAUUAAGGCAUGGAUAGAUUUUUCUUCCAUUCACUGCAACAGAAAUCGUAAGAACUUUUUCCUUUGAAAAAUCAAACUGCCCUUUAGGCAUAAUUUUGGUCAAUGCAUUGAGAGAAGCAGAAAUUGAACAAUUUUUCAGAACCAAGAGAGCAAUUUUGUUGCAAUUUUCACUUGAUGAUUGUACAUGAGCAGGCAACCAGAAUCUGCUUUCUGCAGUUUGAUGAAAGGCUUGCAUAUGUAUUUCGCUUUAGUAUCCAUAAAUGUCAUGUUUUCUUGCAUAAAUAAAUGAUGUAGACUGACCAUUUGAUAUGAACUCGGAACUGAGAUAUGGAUAUAUUCUGAGUUGUAAAUUACACACAUAUGCAUGAUUAGACAAUAAUUAGGCAGAUAUGGAAAAUUUUGUGUCUAAAAUGCAAAUGCAGGGCAUGAGUGUUGGACAUAUUAACCAACAAGAAAACUCUUCUCUAGUUGUUGAUAUGGUGCAGCUUAUAUUUAGCUCAAAUUUAUAAAGGCCCUUACACCCUUUUUAGGUUCAUUUAACUGCUUGAGGAUGGGAGCCUAGCUGGUGGAGACCAUAAACUUUUGCUUGUAUUAACUUUAAAAUUUCAAUGUGUGAACCGAACUUUCAGUGUCUUCAAACCUCAAUUUCAAUAUUGUCUCUUGCUGUAGUAGGUCUAAUGGUUGUUGCUUCCGUCUUGCCAUUGUUUGGCAAGUGUUUUAUGUAGAUUUGCCAUGGGUAACAUAAGGUAGAAAGAAAAAGAAAAAGCAAGGAAAAGGAUCUUUUGGACAUUUAAGCGGAAACUCCUUCGGAGAUCUGAAUUCAUGUCUUUCCUAGUGCUGGUGUCUUAACACUUUGCAUUUGUAGUCCUGUAAAGAAUUAUAUUACAUGGUAUGACAAUGAAGGCAACCGUACAGCUUGUCAAUAGUUGGCUGAUAACAAUGAUCUUCAUGUUUGAGCGUGUAUUGGUUCGUUUUUUCUGAUCUCCCUGAUGCAAGUUGGUUAAUCUUGUUUUCUUGAUGAUCUUGUGGGAUGAAUUGAUCAAAGGUGUAAAGCAACUUUAAGAAAUCACAGGCCUAAUUAAUUCUAUGGACUAAGCGCAUGUUAACCUUACUUGUCCUAGUAAUCAAAAUGUGGUAUCAAAAUGGUUUAAAGCAUGAAGUUAGGCCAGAAACAUGAAAAUUGAUUGACCUUUAAUGUCUAUUCUACAUGAAUACUUCAAUUCCUAACCAGACACCAGGACUUUGAUAAUGAAGAUCUAGUCAAUUGAUGUUUAUUCUUCCAGCAUUAGGUUGAUUCCAGCAUAAUCUUCAUGUUAGGUACCAGUCUAAAAAUACAAAUUUGGGACGCCUAAUGGAAACUCAUUGUCCAAGCUUCUGGGAGCACUAUACAAGGACCAAUUGCAAAGUUUUAGACAAUUUCAUAGAUUCUCCGUUGAGCAGCCUGAGGCAUGUACUCAAUUAUUACUAUUGUAAUCUUUUGUAAUUUAUGAAAAUUAUAUUUACUGUUUAAUCCAAUUUUUCUUUGUUGCUGAACAACUUUUUGUUGCUUUUACAGGUUUACUGGUCAAUUGUUCUGGACCAUCUCUCAAUUAAAUUUCUUAAAGCUCCAGAUUGCAUCCUUGAUACUUCAGACAAAUCAAAACAUGGGGAAAAUGGUUUCCAGUUCAGUGUUGAAUAUUGCCGAGUGUUGCUUGAUUCCAAGCAGUUGUCCAAAGAAGGAAGAUGACAGUUUAGCUAUAAUAUGGAGAAAUGAAGGAUGUGAUGACUUAGAUGUUAGUCAGAUGACACUAAGAGAGCUUCGAGAACUAGUAAUGUGAGCUCUCACUUUGAAUACUCGGCUCCAUGAACAUACUUGUAUUGAGAUUUACUAGUCAUUACUUCAGAAGUCGUUUUCUUUGGUGGUCACCAUGUAAUUUGUAAAAGCUGGCUCAGUUGGCCUUAUGGUGGGCUAGGGUUACCCUAUGAGAUUUUCUAUGCUGUGAAAGCAUGGUAUCAGUGCUCUAGGGCUUGAUUUCCCAAGCUGUCAGUGCUUCUUCUGUACAAAAUCGAAGCCCCUCCUGGCCACUCACAAGCCUACAGCAUGUAGAAUUGGGAAUCAGUGAACUGAUACAGUCCUGCUAAUUAGGUGACAAUGUUUCCAGUCUAGCUUCAGGAGCUUGAUCCUUACAAGCUGCAUCUAACAAUUUUCUACAGAGUAACAACCCAAAAACAACAGUUUCAUCUAGUAUUUUAUUUCUUGUUGUUGUUCCUUUUUUUCCUUUCUUAAUAUUUAUUCCAUGCUAGUGUGCUUCACUAACAUACAAUCUUUGAAAAGUAUUUACCAGGGCCAACAAAGAUCUCCUUAGGAACAUGGCAUGUUUAUAGAGUGUCCUCCUUACCUACCUUAGGUCCAAGAUGUUCAGUCUUUGUUUCUUUCCCACUAGUAAUGAGAAUUGGUUUCCCUAGAGUGCCAGAGGAUAACAAAGUUUCUUCAGAUAAAUGACCACUUCAUUCUUUUGUUCAUACAAGCUUCUUGUUUGCUAGGCUCAUGUUUUCUGUUGUUUAUUGAAAUCAACCUUCUCUGUCUAUUCCUUUUCUCACACCAAGUUUUCCAUAGGUUAGUGGCAAAUGUGCGCUGCAAAAUUCUCAAAGGGAGAUGCAAUUGCAAUUGACAUGCCAAUGACAGCGACUGCUGUUAUUAUAUAUCUAGCAAUUGUGCUUGCAGGUUUGGUUGUUGUCUCAAUUGCUGACAGCUUUGCAGCACAGGAGAUCGCAACCCGGUUGCGUGUGUCUACAGCAAGGGCUGUAUUUACUCAGGUAGUUCAAUAUAAUCUGUACAAGUCUUUUACUUUUAAAUUACAAAACUGGUAUUGAACUUGUGUACAAAUAUCUCAUGUUUAGCUUUAUGCGUUUGGUUGAUGCCUGUAAUUCACCGUAAAUCUUAAUGGUGAUUCUUUAGUUCGAGUGCUAUGAACUCCAAAAAUCUCAUCCAAUCUUUAUGGUGAAAAUGUUUCCUUUUAGUGUAUUCUGAUGUUACACAUGAUUCCUAUUUGAAAAUUAUAUUCUGGCGUGGUAGAUUCUUUUCUCCAAGUUAUUACAAUUUCGGGCACCAACAGUUGCGAAGAAAAUAUAACUGUAGCCCAAUAAUGUAUAAAAUGCACUGUUUGGACCAAUCCUUUAAUCUGCUACUGAUUUGGUUUACUUCGACUGGCUGGUUGCAAGUUAAUUUGUUUGAUUUGUCUGUUUAAGGCAGUUUUUAGUGGUUGGAAUUGCUUCUAAACUAUUGAGAAAAUUCAGGAUUUUAUUCUACGAGGAGGUCGAAAAGUUCCUUUAUACAGGUAAUGAUUUGCAUCUCAUCUUGGAUUGGGUCAUAUUACUUAGUAGCGAAGCUCUUACUAGUUCACUCAAUAACUUAACAAUAGUGUUUUCCCUCACCAUCUGGUUUCUUUAUCAGAGUUCUAUUGUCUGUUAUCAUCUGUAAGCAUCAUGGACAGUGAUGGGUACUUUGACCUGGAAUUUAUUUUGUAAAAUUGGACUAUAUCAUGUAUCAUCAGUAUUUAGGAGCAUUCGAACUCUUAUUAGAACAAACUGAGACUGAGAGAUAGAGAGUCCAAAAGAAAAGAAAACCAAGGGAAGAAAGGAAGAACCAAAUAAACAGUGGAGACAACAAGUAAUAACUCAGAGACUAAAAGAUUUCAGCGAACAAUAAUGUGUUACCAUACAAGUCACCGUUUACCUGAUCAUGUAGCUCCUUUGAUUCAGGAAUUCAGAGCAGUGCUAAUUUUCAUUGCACUGUUUGAAUGCCUUCAGUUUCCAGACAUCUCGUGCAUAUGCUAACUAUUUUUUCAUUCUGCUUUCUUAUUGGUUUUCCUUGCAUCACAUAAUUGGUUUAGAAGUACUUGGCUUUAAGAGUUUGAUUAAUCUGAAAGCUAAGCUCAAUUUUCAAUCUAUUGAUCUAAACAAAAUCCAUGAGAGAAAAGUCUAUUCGUUAAACACAGAGAAUUUAAGGAAGAAGUCCUUCGAUUAGUGCAGAGGGGGUUAACAAUGAUGGAAGAUCUAACGGGAUAAUGGAAUCCUAAGGAAAGAUGUGUUCAAAAUUUGAUGGUUCCUAGUCUCUACAAUGGUUAUUGUGAUCAGAUUUGUUUUUGCAGUCGAGUGGUGGAAGCUGCUCCUUAUGAAGCUAUUGUAAUUCCUGCAUCUGGAAAGGAGUUAGCUGUCCAGUUAAGAUGCCAAGAUUUGUCUUGGAAUGAUUUUCUUUCUAGUGUGUGUAUCCUUCCAAGGUAAUAUGAUACUGUUCUCUGAAAUUGCUUUUUCUUUUAAAACAUGUAUGAUUCACUAAGAAAGGUACAUGUCUAACUUUUAAAAAUGUAUAAAUCUCUUCCAAUUUACUGAAUAUGUAAUUUUGAAACAUUUUCCAUUCUGGCAGUUCAAAUUACUUCACACCAGCUUAUCAACCUAUAGACUCUGUCACAAUAUCCUAUUUUCAUCAGGAACCACAGGUUAAAAAGUUAUUUUUGAUGGCUGCUUAUACCUCCACUUUAUUAUAUUUUUAUUUUAUCAUGAUUUUCUACAUGUUUUUGUGUUUAUGCUUGUUGUUCAAUAGGAGAACCAAAAGCUAUUCCAUGGACCAGCAUUCUCCCAUUAGGUGUGCUGCUGAUACAUGGGCACAUAUUGAUGUUCAAGAGGGAGAUGUUUUCUGCUGGCCUACAAAUUUAGGUUGGGUGAUGGGCCAAUAUUGCUUAUUCAUGCUUUCUGUCUGGCGGAACACUUGCUCUAUAUCAUGGUUCUCCUUUAGGCCGUGGUUUUGGGAAAUUCAUUCAGGUGAUUGCCACAGAUUCCUGUGUCAGUUAAGAGUAAAAUCAUUUCUCCUUGAAAUGAGGAGAAUUGUUAUUUGAUCCUAAUAAUGAACAUGCUGCGCACAUUGGUCCCUUACAAAUGCCAUUACUGCUAACACGAAUAUCCUACCAAUCCCCUACUCUUGCCUCUUUCCAAUUUAUGUGCUUUAUUAGGAUGCAGGAGCAACUGUAUUGGGUACUGUUCCAAGCUUAGUUAAGACUUGGAAGAGUACAGGGUGUAUGAAUGGCCUAAAUUGGACAAAGAUAAGGUAUUGUCUGUGACAUUUAUAUUUAAGUGGUUCUAAUGGUUUGCCAAUAAAGUACUAGAGUUUAUAAUCUUGUGCAGGACUUUUGCUACCACUGGAGAAGCUUCAAACAUAGAUGAUGACCUUUGGCUUUCUUCAAAGGCUUACUACAGUCCCAUUGUUGAAUGCUGUGGAGGCACAGAGCUUGCAUCAUCAUAUAUCCAAGGAAACCCUUUACAACCACAAGCAUUUGCAGCAUUUAGCUCUGCAUCAAUGUCCACAAGUUUUGUCAUCCUGAAUGAAAAUGGGCUUCCUUAUGUAAGCACUUUGACUGGUGUCUACAAGGCUUCAGUAUUAUUUAUUGCAAUAGAAUUGCUGCAGCAAAUACUUUUGAGUUCUGCAAUCAUUUAUGAAGAGUGGCUUAUUUUCUGUUCAAUAGGCUGUAUUGCCAAGUGACUUGUUGUUGCUGUUUCUUUGUGCCUCUUACAGUAGUAUCACUUGAACAAUUUUAGUAGACCUUUCAAUUGAGAUCGACUGAUGCUUAAUAUCUAGUUUUUAUGGUACAGCCAGAUGAUCAAGCAUGCAUUGGUGAAGUGGGUUUAUUUCCUCACUACAUGGGAGCAACUAAUAGAUUGUUGAAUGCUGAUCAUGAGGAGGUGUAUUUCAAGGGCAUGCCAUAUACAAAGGAAUGGUAUGCUGUUGUUUGACUUGAAUUACUUCCUUUUUUAGGUUUUAUAUAAAGUUGGAUUACCUGUUUAUAUAGCAAUGCCUAGAAAAUUCGCUUGAAAAGUCAUUUCAACAAUUCUCAACUUUACCACACAUUAUCAUGGACUAUAAAACAAGCUGCAGCAAAAUGAUUUCCAGCCUUUGAGCUAUGUAGUUGCUUUCUUUAGCUGCUGUUCCUAUCGUGUUUGCAAUCCUUGAGAUUUGGCCUCAUUAGCUGUGCACAAGUGUCAGUGGAGCUACCAGGAUUAAAACAGUGCACUGGUUAAAGGAACAGAAAGUAUGUGGUUGGAGUUCCCAUGCUUGUAAACUUGGGCAUAAAUUCAUGAUUGCAUUGUUUUUGUGAAUGAUUUCAAGGCCUCAAGCAUCAGUUCACAGAAUCCAAAAUAACAGUGUGCCUAGGAGGAAUCAUGCUCUUUCUAACAAUUUUUGUCUUGUUUAUCCAUUGAUAGGUGAGACUUCCUUGGGAAGAAUAAUAUGAGAUACAUAACAGUAGAAACAGCUGGUUCUCUGUAGGAAACAGCUAUGCAUCAAGACUAUUAAAUGCAAACCAAUACUAAGAACCACUUCAAGUCUAGUCUUUCUCAAUGGAUGAGAGCUCUGGAUUUAUACUUAUAGAAUUUCUGUGGAUAAAAUCGGGUGGUCCUUUACUUCUUUUAUAACUUAAUUUCUAUUCUCAGCAACUUAGGCGACAUGGUGACAUCAUCAAACGCACUAUUGGAGGGUUUCUCAUUGUACAAGGCCGGGCUGAUGAUACCAUGAAUCUGGGGGGAUAAAGGUAUAUCUCUAUCAUACUGCAGAUACAGUCUCUUUACCUGCGCUAUCUUUCUGUCUGUCUACAGUUUUAUCUUUUUUGUUUUGGAGAUUGCUGCUCUAGUUAAUUCGAAAAACACCGAGAGCUAUUACCCUUUUCUUAUUUUGUAGCUUGCCUUUUUACCUAUGUUUUACUGAGAAAACUGAUUGUAUUCGUAUAGAGUCCAGGAUGGAAGAUUUCUACCUAAAAUUUUCUUUUGAGACAUAACUUCUUGAGUUGGAAAUGGAUUUAAUUUUCUUCUCUAAUAUAAUAGAAUGGCUGGCCUUGAGCUAUUAUUGGUUUUCUGCAAGUCAGUACUUUGUUAGUUUGCUACUUAUUUAUUUAUUUUUAUUCCUGUGCAGACUAGUUCAGUUGAGAUUGAGCGUGUAUGUAACCAGGCUCAUGAUGGUAUCUUGGAAACUGCCGCAGUCAGCACUCCACCGCCGAAUGGUGGCCCAGAGCUGUUGGCUGUAUUUGUUGUGCUAAAGGAAGGAAUCCGUGCUGACCCUGAUUUGCUGACGAUGAAAUUCUCAAGAGCCAUACAGAGCAACCUCAACCCUUUAUUUAAGGUUUGCCAAUGCCCCUGAAAAUGCAGUGAUUGUCUUGUUUUCAUAUUCGAUUACUUUAAUUCUUGGGGUGCUAAUCCGUGCAGCACCUAACCAUUGGAGUAUACAUGCUAGACAAGGACUAAUGUAGAGUUUACAAAGAAAAUCACAAAGAACCUUAGUCACAGCAAUGACUUUUCUUAUUUUUUCCCCCCUUUCUACGAACAAAGAAUCUGAAUCCAUUCCAUGUCAGCGAUGGGGUUAGUUCGAUGUUCUGACUUCUCCAAACCCCUGAAAUUGAAAUGAAUGACAACCUUGGGAUAGGUACCUAAAGUUUGUAUAACCUUUACCAUGACACUGAGAAACAUAUUCCUAGGAUAUUGAGUCUAGUGCAGUUUGAAGUGGAUGCCAUGUAAAUAACAUAUUGCAUGCUUGCCUGUCCCAAGUAGUUUGUUCAAGAUCCGUGUAGAUAGAGGGUGUCUUUUUUUUUGCGAAACAAUAGACCCUACAUUUUGUUCUAUACUAUGGGGAGGGGAGAGGGGGGGACCUAAAGAGGCCUAGAGAAAACCGGAGGGGACUAAACCACCUACUGGCCCAAAUAAGUGCACUAUGCACUCGUCCGGUAGCCACUUGAAGUGGCCUGCCACAUUUAGUGGCAAAUGGGGGAGGCAGGGUUUGAAACCCUGACCUCCCACCCCACAGAGAUAGGUAGUAUUAUUCUGGCCCACUUUACUGCUGAACUUAUAACUUAAUUGCUAUAGAUAAUUUUCCAUACCAAGUGCCAGUAAUACUCAGUACUUGGUGAUCAUGAAUCUUGUUGAACAACACACUAUAUGGAAGUUUUACAAGUCAAGUUAUACUUUAGCAUCAUCUCCCUUGGCCAGUCAAACUUAUAUCGGACAAAGGAUUUUAAUGUUUCUGUGCAAGAGCAGAUGUGCUACUGUGAAGUGCAUUAAAUUUGUGCGCCGCAAGAAAACAUUCGGUAGCAGUUGGAUGAGAUGGGAUACUCAAUCUAUUCUCUAAUCUUCUCUUUUUCUUCCCUGUUGAAAGUGAACCAGAGUCACUGAUAAAGUCACAUUGCACUAAGUUUGGUUUGAUUGGUAUAGGUGUCUGAUUUCUGUUCUAACUUAAUGUAGGUAAGUUUUGUGAAGAUUGUCCCUGAGUUUCCUCGAACGGCAUCAAAUAAGCUUUUAAGAAGAGUUUUAAGAGAUCAGUUGAAGCAGGAGCUUAACAUACGGAGCAAGAUCUGAACAUGGGAUUGAUGUUUCCAAAACUUUGUGCAAUAAUUACUUUAUUUCCUAUUCCUGACAGGACUACGUGCAAUAAGAUCAUUGAGUGGUUAGUUUCUAUGUUUUCCAUCAUAGCAAAGAACUGUUGAUAUUGUGAUCAUGGGGUCAUAUAAAGAAAUUGGUUUUGUUAUAAAGAAGUUAAAUUUACUCGAACUAUUAGUACAACCUAGUUCUGCAUCUAUAGUGAUAAUAUACUGUGUUGCAGAAUUUGUACACUUUUUUUUUUUUUAAUCCCUCUGCUUUUCAGCUUGGUUAAAGCAAGUGUAAAACCAAAACGCAUCAGAAAAGAAAGUAAACUGGUCCUUCGUUGCUGGUAAAAGUCCCUGCGGGCUAUCAUUUUGUUAAGCAGGUUUAGUAGGCCAAUUGGGAGUUUAGUUGGAGAUGGAGCUUCUAUUAGAGGGACAGAAGUCUACCACAAAGAAGCUUUGCAAACUUUCAAGGAAUUCGCGUCUACCUAUAUGCAUUACAUGCAUACUGGACAGAAGUCUGAUCUGAAAUUCAUCUGAUCAACCAAGAUAUAUAACCAAAUGUAGUCAUGUAUAAAACUGGACUGACUUCAUUGACAAUACAAAACAAUCAUUUAUAGCCGUCAAAAAAAAUAUUUACGGCUGUUGAAAAAAAAUUAUUUACAACCGUCUCAUGUCUCAAUGUCAAUACAUCAAGUUAUGAACAAAUUACUAUAUCAACAAUCCGAACUUCCUACCUACUUGGGACUGUACAAUUCAGAGGAAAAUACUACUCUACAUUAGUCCAAGAAUUCAGAGAGGAAAAUGCUACCCUACAUUAAUUGACAAUCACCCUUUCUUCUGCUUUUCCAAAUCAAAAAUAUGCUUCCUCCAAGAAUUCCUCCCUCAUGCGCAACCUGAGCUGUUCUAAAGGGUUCACAAUGUUGCCAUUCUUCAGGACUCUCAGCACCAUGACAGGUUGAUACCCGCAGCGGUCGUAGACAGGAGAACAUUCGCUUAACAUCUCGAGUUCCUUGAGAAUCAUCAGAUUUUCCUCGAGUUCAAGCUCUGCUUUCCUUUUCAUUGUCUCCAAAGUAACCCUGGCAGCUUCCCUUUGUUGACCAUGGAAUUGAAGUCCAUCUUUUGGUUUUAGCAUAUGUUAGGUAUAUGGCAGUUAUCUAGGGAGAAAUAGCUAUAUUUAUAUUGGUUUCAAAUCGUGGAAUGCUAUGAUAUGUAAAUGUUUGACAUGGUUAACUUUUGUGGUUUGACAUAUUAUGGUUGCCUACUAAUGAUAAUUUGUAAAAUUUUGGUUGAUAUUUUCCUUGCAUACUUUUAUAUUUUGAUUGGGUGGAGUGUCUAUACAGAUGAUAUGGUCACUUUCUUAUCACUAAAAUUGCUGGGCUUAAAAAAGCUAAAUGGUGAAAUUAGAAAUUAAUAUGUUAUAGUGAUACGGCUGUUGUCAGGAAAAAUGACCUUGUAUUGUCAUUAAAAUUUUAAGCAAGUUUCAAUGCAUGACUUUUCUUGACAAUUGAAACUUUAGUCACAAAGUUCAGGGUCUUUCCCGACAAAGGCUCAUCAAGACUAUGAGGUCUUUCCCUAACGACCAAAUCAUCACGAUUACCUUUCCUGAUGAUGCAUCACAGAAAAUGACACUUUUCUUGAUGAGAAUUUCACUAGUUGUCGGGAAAACCUUUUGCUGACGGCGUAUGAGUGACCAAUAUUCCCUGACAAUAUUGACGUCACGAAAACCUUUCCUGACAAAAUAUGUAACUUUUCUUGACAAAAAUUGUUGUCACUAGAAAUUUUUUUUUUGGUUGUAGUGUAACUUCUUUCCAUCAAACCUUCUCACCUCUGGAACUAAAGUAUCACCACAUCCAGUUUUCUUCAAGCAAGUCUUGUACCUUGAUAGCUCUCCAUUACCAGCUACCAUGCUCCCCUCCAAUUCUUCCCCAUCCAUGCUACUUUCUACAAGCUUGGCACAAGCCACUCUAUUUUCAGCAUGCUACAAGAAGAAAAGGCUCAAUAUUUGAUUUAUUUUGUUAAACACUUCCAAAAAACAGAUAAAAAAAGAAAAGCCAUUGAAACAGGCAAAUAGACUUGCAGUCAACAUUUUUUACCUUCAUUUCCACAUUCCGAGAAUUGUAUAGCACUCUGGUGGGCAAAAUCACAGAUAACUACCUUCCAUCUUCAAAACUUGAUUGAUAAGUGAAAACAACUUCUCCCUCUUGACAUUCUCAUAAGAACAACACGAGAACCUUGGUGUUCUUUGUCCAAAAAGCAUGAUCUCUACUUCCUAAACAAAUUCUGGAAAAAAAAAAAUCAUAAUAUUACGUCACAAUGCUACUUCAGUUAUGACAUUAAGUAGAAGCAUGAGCCACGGAAAGGUUUGGUCUGGUAACUAGUGCAACAAUUUAUCACUCAAAUCCUAAAGAGUCAACAAAUUAAGCCAAAUUCCAUUGAUUAAGCCAUAAAGAAAAUACACUAGUGUAGAUACCACCCUGCAUUUGGCACAAUUACAUGACUCAAACAUACUUGCAAACUUGGACCAAUUCCCUUGUACUUCUAGUAAGUUGGGUGGAGACACUUCCAAACCACUUACCUCCUCAUCUUUCUUCAAAAACGAUUGGAAACCAUUGCUUGAUGCUGCAGUUGGAGAAUGUGAAAAGUGCAAUAAGAUGCUUUAGAGGUUCCAGGCUGACUGUGCCUUGAGCACGCUUUUGAGCCUUCCAUUGCUUGCAGGCAAAUGUUUCAGCACUGUCAUUGCUUGCUGCUUCACCGACACUUGUUGCCUGCAAGGCCAUAAUAUUAUCAAUCCAAUUCACAAAAUAGAAAAAGAGCACCCUAGUUAUAGUGUCUGAACUUUAAAAAUUUCCAAAGAUGAUAAAAAUUUAUAGUUUUAACGGCACCCUAGUUCCUCUGCAAACAAUUUCAACUCGAUCGACAUUGAGCUAAUUUUAUGGCAAUCAUAACGCAGAGCCCUACGGAAGAGAUAAUAGUGAAGAUUAAGAACAUAUCCAUCCAUUAAAUGCUAGCGGUAACAAAAAAAAAUUGUAAUGUUCUCCCAAAUUGCUAUUUCAUUGGUUUUAAGGUUGUUUGGAAAUAUCAGUGACAGGAAAAAAUAAGAACAUACCCCAUUGAAGCUGAAUGGUUACGCUUGCAAUGUUAGUGAAUUUCAUGGACAAAUAGUCAGUACCAAGUUCACAUGUAGUAGUGAAUUUUACCAUGCUCAUUAAUCCUUUGGAUGGUUUAGAAAAGCAGAUGAAAUCCACAAUUUUAUUGUCUUUCAAUUUGCUCGUAACUCUAAUUUGUUAAUGGCAAGAAUUAGCUUAAAAAUUGAAUGAGAAAGUAAUCUUCGCCAGAAGAAGUAGAGGAAUAGAUAUUUAUGGAGAGAAAGAGUGAGGGACAAAUACGGGUAGAAUAAGAUGAUCCAAUAAUGAGAAGCAGUUAAUUAAAAUUUUGAGAUGAAAUCUUACCGGAUGGCUCAGAAAUACCGAAAAUCAAUUUUACGCUCCGGAAUAUCAGAGAUCUUGGGCCACUCGGAGCCGCUUUGAGGAGUGCAUCUUCGAUUUAAUAGAGGACAAAACCAAAUUUCCAGACGUCUUAAUUUGAGGCGUUCCAUGGCGGCCAUGGAGGGUAAGUAUUCAAGCUUUGGGCAACCCGAUAGGAUUAGGUCUUCAAGAGAUGCAAAAUUCCCAAGCCAUUCUGGUAAGGCUUCGAUUGCUCCGAAGUCACCUAGAGACAGUGAUGUGAUGGUAGUCAAGCAUUGAAGCUGAUGUGGCAGAGACUUCAUGUCGGGCAUUCCACAUAAAGACACGCACCGGAGUGUUGAUGAAGAUGCUAACCCAGCCCAAUCAAAUUUGAUUACAGAGUCAUCUGUAAAGGGACCAAUCUGCACUUCCCUUAAGCUGGUAAGAUAGCCAAAAUCCACUAGGCAUCUCAGCAAUCAAGUUGGGACAGUCGAAUAAUUUGAAGCUCGCGAGAGAAGGGGUUCGUCGCAAAUCAAGGGGAAAGGAGACCAGACUGUGCCAAUUGUACAAAUUCAGCUCUCGGAGAGACGUACAUGACUCGAACAUCUCCACUGGCAAUGUUGUUAAUUCAUGGCACCCAUAGGUAAGAAGCAUCUCGAGAGACUUAAGGAGGCUUUUCUGUCCUGUAUUAUGAUUUGGAUAUCCAAAUGAAUUGAUUCUCGGGCAGUCACCUACAGUCAAGCACCGUAAAGCUUGAAAUUGAUAGAGAUCAUCUGGCAACUCCCGUAAAUUCUCACAAUAAUGGACUGCCAAACUCUCAAGACAAGCGGCGCAACUCAUUCCUCUUAAUGUUAUUAUAUUAGGGCAACGAAACAAUCUUACAUCCUGAAGAAUUGGAAAGAGGCAGAGUCGCUCAAGCAUGUCAGUGGGUAGACUGUCACAGCCCUCAAUCUCAAGCUGCUCUCUGGUCGUUUCACUAAUUCUAGAGACUCGAUGCUUUGUAGACCACCCCUUAAAUAAAGGGAAGAAAGUGUGGUUAUAUUGCUCAAAACCUUUUCCGCCACCAAAACGUGGCAAUUCCAUUUGAUUUCCAAUACAUCAAGACUUGGGAAACGACUUGGAGUUGGAAUGGUGGUCAGCUUGGGGCAAUCGCUAAUAUACAACUUUUCCAGCACAGGAAACACAUCCAUCACACGUACUUCACCUGCGUUUGACAUCAUUUCGGGUGCGUCCUUCCACUCUUCCAAAAUUUUCAUGCUUUCAAGAGAGAGAAUUUUGAGGGAUGGAAAGAAUGUUUGUCUGCUAAUAGUGUCUGAACCUCCUGAUCCGCCAUCCUCCUCAGCACUUGCACUGUAGAAUGAAAGCCCAAUGCUUGUUGUGUUGUCCAAUCUAGUCAGAUAGAGGCACUUGAGGAACGGCAGCUGUCCAAGUGCAGGGAGUUUUCUGCAUCUUGUGCAAUCCUCCACCCGCAACUCCACCAGUGAUGUCAAUGUCAAAUUCAUGAACCAUUGUGGGAACUGAUCACCCAUGAACUUCAAAAUUUGUAACUCUUUUAAAUUUGGGUGAGGCUGGAGACCUUCCAACACAUCUUCAUCACAUUUAUCACUUUCGAUCCCUAUUGCCCCACUCAAACACCAACCGAUACAUAUUUGGCUUUUAGAUAGGUUCGCUAGUUCAGCAUCAUCUUUGCCAUUUACUAAUUCAAGAUUUCUGAUCUCCAAGGUGCCUUUAAGAUCUUGCAAGGUUCCAAGUUCUUGGAUACCACGACCUUCCUCUUGAUGACCUAUGUUAAAGAACUCUAAUGUUUGAAGACAAGUCAAUCGUCCAAUCCUGGAUGGCAUUUGGAUUUUGCGCCCUGCAUGAUCAUAAUAGUGAAGAUGUCUCAAGCUAAUCAAAUUGCUCAUCUUCUUUGGCAAACCUUCUUCAAGCAUGUUAAUUCUCAGUGUUUGCAAACUAUAAAGUUUGCAAAGAGAUUUUGGCACAGUUGUAAUCCUAGAACCUGAAAUGUCAAGUAAGUGUAAAUGUAUUAGUUUGCCAAUGGAGUUCGGCAACUUUUUGGCAUCUGCUCCAAACAAUUUUAGGACAUGCAAGUAUUGAACUUUGAUAACAUAUCAUCAGCUAUGCCACCCUCCAGAAAUAAUGUGCGAAGUGAUUCUGAUUUUUUUUCAUUGAUGGUUUCUACCGCCAGGUAACGGUCCCAUUGCUGCUGUUACGAUUCAAAAUUGAUUUUGCAAAAUCAUGCACAAGAUCAUGCAUUUUAUAUGAUGUUUUCCACUCCUUUUUUACUUCUUCCAAUAAGGAAGUUUGCAGCAAAGUUUUCAGAUACUUAUAUCUCUUUUCUCCAUUCUUUCAUUUUGGGAAUCGGUUGAGAAAAGCCUUCAGCCAUCCAAAGCUCAACUAGUGAUCUUGUUCCAAUUCAGUAUCUUGAUCAAAAAUUGAGCAAUAUGCAAAACAUUUCUUAACCGGUGCAGGUGAGAGAUGAUCAAAACUCACCUUAAUUAUUGCUCGAUCCCACCCUGAUCUCCAUUCAAGAGACUCUCCUCCAAAAUAGAUAGCCACUCCUCUUUCUCUUUUAGAUAACAAUCCUCCAAUUAGCUUUGCUGAGAGAGGUAGACCGUCACAUCUUCUUAAAACUUGCUCCCUUAUGUCUUCCAAUUCUUUUGGUACUUCUUCCCCUACAGUUGCCCAUUUUUCAUGAUAGACCAGCAAUCAUUAUUGCAUAGCUUUCUCAGCUCAUGGCGAGUAAAAUUGAUCUGCGGAUGUCUAGACAGAAUAAUUGCCACUUCUUGCAGACGAGUGGUAACAAGACACCAGCUCCCUUUCUUGGUAUUGAGUCCCGCCAAAGUGCUGAAAAAGUCAUUCAACAAUACUUCUUGAUCAUUCACAAAUCAUCAGAACAAGGAAAUAUCUUUUUUCUUGAGUUCAUGCUGAAUUUUUUUAACUAUUUCCUCCCUAGGAUCCCCUUCGGUCUCUCUAUCUGUUAACGAUUUUAGAAUCAUUUUGAAGACCACCUCGAUUUCAUCUACUUUUUUAGCCACAGAAACCCACAUUGUUUGGUCAAAUGUCCAGCAAUUUGUUCAUUUUGUAAACGGCUUUAGCCAGAGUUGUUUUUCCUAAACCACCCAUGCCAGUUAUGGGAAUAACUGAAAUAACACUUUCAGAUUCGGUCAACAACUUCUUAACUAUUUCUGAUUCAUCCUCGUCUCUUCCUAGGACAUCUCUUCGCACAAUAGUAGAGUCAGUCUGUCGGCUUGUUGGGGCUCCAGCAGCAAUAGUAGGGAAUGCUUCUUCAACUCGGCGCUUGUAGGCCAGUCCCAAACCUUCGGCAUCCCGAUGGAUCCUCUCAAGGUUCGUGUUGAUCUCCCUGAUCGUUGAAGCCAACCUCGAACGAAAACGGACUGUAUUAAAGAAUGAAAAGCAGAGGAAUACCUUCUUUUUCAUGAGUUGAUUUUGAUACUUCACCUUCUGACGAAGAUUUUCAUAGUUGAGCUCGUCCAGCACAUUGUCAGCUUUGAAAACCUCUUCUUCCAGUUGCUUGAGCCAAUUUUGCACCCCAACAAGCUUCGGAUCGUGGCUAUGCAUUUCCUCAUCAGCACCGGCCAAGAAGCCUCGGAUCAUUUCAGCAGAUCUGUUGAGUCUCUCCAGCUCCUGUGGAAAUUCACGAACCAGACUAACCUGAUCAGCGGCAAGGGAAACAACCGUCUGCAGUGCAACCCGAAUAGUAGCACUAACAGCAGCAUCAGCCAUUUUUUUUUCUCGCUUGGGAUUGGAAUUAGGAUGAAAGUGUUGUGAUAUCGAUGAUGGUGAUGGGGGGAUGCUUUCUGUGAUGAGACAAGGAAGGAAUGGUUCAACUUUAGCAGCUAAGAGCAAAAUCUGUGGAGGCUAAUUAAAACUUGCAACUUGCCCGGCUUCAACUUCUUCCACUUUUUGCAAUUUGCCCGGCUUCACCUUGCAAAGCUGCACUCUAAAGACGUCACUUAGAAAGUUUUACCGCUUUACUGUGACAAUUUGUAGCAUGUGUUAGCCAGCUUCGGCUCUCUCAUUCCUCCUUGUUACAAUGCAGUAAAAGAGCAGGUACUAAUAGGCCUGUCAACGGGUCGGGUCUAGACCCGGAUCCGUGAAAUUAUUGCGGGUAUGGGUAGGGAUUUAAUUCCGUUUCCCGGAUCCGGAUCCGGAUCCGUUUUGUCAAAAAAAAAACGGGUCGGAUACGGAAUAUAGUAUUCCGGCCCGUAUUAGACCCGGAUCCGGAUAUAAAUGAAUUAAUAAUUUAAAAAAUAUAUAUUUAUCAAUAUAAUUUGAUUAGGGUGAUGUAUUUUAAUAAAGUUAAUUUGAUUUCUUUUCUUAUUUGAUUUUUUCUUUGCAUUAGUUAGAAAUUAGUUUACAAGUAUAUUUUUUUCUCAUUUUUAUUAGAAAUUAUAAAAUUUGAUAAAUUUGUUCGGGUAGACCCGGAUCCGGAUCCGGAUCCGGAACGUAGAAUAAAAGACCCGUCAGGUAAACGGGUCGGGUCCGGGUCCGGAAUAAUGAAUUCCGGCCCGGACCCGACCCGUUGACAGCCCUAGGUACUAAUAUAAAAUUGGCUUAACUUCUAACUCAUCAUCUUGUAGUUUCUCUCUUAUCCGUUUUCUUUUUAACUCCUUCCGAAUCCAAUUAAAAAUGUCAUAGUUUUGAAUUUUAAAAUGUCUCAAAAUAUUUAUCAUUUUAUUAAACUCAAAUUUACUUUUGAUCUCUUUUUUUCAAGGUUUUUUUCCCAUGUUUAUCAAUAUUUGGCAUUAAAUUUAAAUUUAGAUUUUGAAUUUUUGAGAACAAUUUUAGAUACAAAUCUACUAACAUCACCGUCAAGUUACUUACUAUCCUUAAAAAAAUUUGAAUCCCGAAAUACGACAAAUAAUUUGGAGCAGAGGGAGUAUUAUUUUAAUUUCCAUCAGUUGUGCUUGUAUACUCAAAUAUAAUGAUGAUUUCUUAAUUGAAUUUUGGUACUUUGUAUUGCACUUUGUUAUUUUAAAAUUAAAACACAUAUUGCUUUUUUACCAUUAAAAACUUUGGAAAGGUUUUUUACUUUCAUAAUAGAUUAGUGCAAAAUCAUCACUGAUUAUUUUCCCCACAAACUCAAUAGUGCAAAAUAGUCCUGUUGAUUAUAAAUAUAUAUAUAUAUAUGUGUGUGUGUGUGUGUGUGUGUGUGUGUGUGUGUGUGUGUGUGUGUAUGUAUAAAAGAUAAUAAACAAAAAGGAUUAAUCACUAGAGGGAAAAUUUUGUACAAAAGAACAAUUGCUAACUUCUAAUGAUAUAAAUACACACCAAUCUAUAUCUAUAUGUAUUGAAGAAGGGGUUUUUAGCAGAGACCCUCUCAAUAGCUUCCAAACUUUUCAUUCUUUUUUCUAGAUUUUUGUAUUUGUUUUAAUACAUAAAAAGUAGUGGAUUAUAACCAACCUUAUCACCAAUCAAAUUUAAAUUUAAAAUAUUCCCACUAUCUCUUAACUCAUUCUACAACCACUCCUACAAAUCCUCUGAUCAUCAUCCUACGUUUUCCCCCACAUUUUCUCCCACGUUCCCUACCACAUUUCCUCCCACAUUUCCCACUCCAAUUAAGAGUCCUCCAAUUUAAGAAUUUCGCCCCAAUUAAAACUCCUCCAAACAUAGCAUCCUUUUUCAAUUUUCUUGCAUACUCAUUCGUAUUUUUUGGUUAACCAAAACAAGAAUCUAUUAUCUCUUUCAUCUUUCUUGUGGUGUCAAUCUUAGUCUUUAACUUAAUUUCACCAUGGAAUAUGUCCGCCUACAAGCAUUUCAAUAACAACUAAAUUUCAAACUCGCACGAUUGCAAAAGAGGAAACAUUUGCUUAAGAAACGAACCGUACACCGCAACGAUUCCAUGUACCAGUUGGAAAAGCUUCAACAAAUUUGCGCUGACGAAAGAGAAAUUUCAAAUCAAAUUCGAAGGACAAAAUCUAGGCUACGCCGAUUGAAGCGUCAUUCGCAUCAAAUUAAAAAUUCCGGUACCGUGUAUUCUUUAAAUAUUUGCAUUUCCAUUGUAAUUUCAAAUAUUUUUUAUUAUUUUCGAUUAUUUCCAAUACUAAAAUAUGUCUAUAAUUUGUUUUCAACCCUUAUACUGAUCGACUUAAUUAACUCGAUCAGUUAGUUCCCCCCACCCUCUCCCUCAGUUUCUUCUUUAUUUUUUGUUCUCUAUUGAUUUUGUAAAUUUAUUUUUUUUGAGCAAUUAUGGAAGAGAUUAUGUGCAAAGACUUCAACGGAAAUCAACCUUCUUGCGUAGAAUUGGAAGUAUAUUCUUGCCGGCUAAAUUUUGCAGGUCAGUCCCCUCUGGCCCUCAUUUUUGUCAUGUUUUGCUUUUCUUUUAAGGUGAUUUGGUCUUUUACUUUCUUUAUUUUUUCUCCUUUUAUUUUCUGGGCUGGCGGAUGGUUUUGAUUGCAUACAUGAUCAAAUUUGUAAUAACCUGGAGAAGUAAUUAACUUAAAUCUUGAAAGGGCUUUAGUGCUAUGCCUUGAUUGAUAAGGUAUUGCUUGCUUAUAUAAUUGCGGAUGGUAUAGGAACCUGAUUGAGGGUUUUACUAUUUUUAACAUAAAUUGUAUAUUAUAAAAAUUUGUUUGUUUGUAUUAUUAACAUUUUUUUAAUUAUUUUUUAUUGCACACUUAUCACAUUAAAAAGGUGUUAUAAUAGUUACUUUAAAAAUUUUAUUCCAAAUAAUCUACUAUCUAAUUAUAAAAUUUUCGUGAAAUGAUCGUGCAUGAAAUAAAAAAUUUUUUUUUUUGAUAAUAAUUAAAAAAUGGUUUAUAAUUGGAGAAAAAAAUUCAAAUACUACUAAUAACUAAGGAACUAUACGCCCACUAUUAAAAUUGGAUUAAUUUUUAAUUUCGUCAGAAAUGCUUUUGGCAACAGUGUAUAACCUAUAUCUUCUUUCAUUCUUAUUAGAUUAAAUAUUUUCGAAUACUUGCUUACAUUCAGAGCAUUAACAUAGAAAAUAUGUUCUACGAGCUAUGCAAAAAUUGUGGACAACUAUGUGAAGGUCAUUUUUCAAAGACAGUGUGUAUGCAUUGUAAUGACGUGGUUGACACUAUUAUUAGAUAAUUAAUUUCAUGUACAUUUAAUUUCAACAUAUUUUUAUGUAUUGUAUAUCUAUAUCUUAUUUGUCAAAUAGGUACAAUGUUAACAUACAAAUCAGAUAUUCCAGUGGUAACAUGCAUCUUAAUUUACAAGACAGACAUGCACGAUACGUAUUUGGUUAAGAUGCUUCUGAUCUCAGAGAAUUACAAAGGAAGGUAGAAUUUGUUAAUAUAUAUUUAUUUUUUGUAGUACUAUUUAUAAACUAUGUAAACAAAUACACUAAUUUCGUACAUUCUUAAUUAUCAAAAAAAUGGUGAUAGGUUGUUCAGCCAACGAAUUAAUUCAUGCAAAGAUUGUGCAUUUUCAUUUGUAGUACGCACUCCACAAAAUUCAAUAGAGUUAAUUAAAUCAUCAAAUUUUGGCUUUCGUACUAAAAGUGGAUUGGUGUGACGAGUAUUCGCACCUUCAAGCAAGAUUAUCAAAUCGAAUGCUUAGUAGUUGUAAGAAUUUCAUUUUAACAACAUUCAAUUACAUUCAUUUGUAGAAAUAUAUCAUUCCCUUUUUUAAUAUAAAUUUUUAUUUUUUUUCAAAAUCCAUCUUUCGAAAAAAGACAGUUCUUGAAUGAUAUACACAUUCUAUUAUAUUUCAAGCUAUUGUUAAACAGAUAUUACAUUUUAAUUUUAUUGGUACAAUUUUUUCACCAUUAUUUGUUCACCCUUUUAUUUUUAUUUUGUUCAAUAAUGUCAGCACCGUACGUAGCACGGGUAUUCCUACUAGUUAAACAUAGCAAGUAAUAUGGACUUCAUUAAAAUACUCCCUUCGUUCUGAAAUUUUAGCCGCAUUUUAGGAUCUUUGCAUUUAUAAUUUCAAUAAUGCAAGAAUCUUAAGUGAUUUGGGUUUAGAUUCCAGUAAUACCCUGCUUGGAGUUUCCGGUGUUCAUGCGUUUUUGAAUGAUAAAAGAAUCACAACUUGUUACAAAUUGAAACUGUUUUUGGCUCCUUGCAAUCAAAUUGAAAUAAAGUAAAGGGUCAAUUAGCACUAAUCUCCAAUGAGAUCUUGCAUCCCUACAUUUCACCAAAAGGCAACCCAAGUAGUAUCAUCCAAAUACACAAUUUCCAAAACACAAAAUCACUAGUUAUAUCAGCAGCAGCAUCAGAGAGAGGGAGGGAGGUUUCAGCAGCAAGUAAAAUCUGUGUGGAAGCUCUGAAGAAAGGAUAAAAAUUGGGUUAUGAAACAAGUUUGGUCAAUUGUGGCGGCCUUUAGUUGUUUAAAAAUUCCAUUAUUUUUGUUGUUAGGAAUUAAAAAAACAAACGAAAGUGAUUUCAAAUCAUAUCAGUAGGUAGGACUUGUUUUAAGUAUUGCUUGGUCAAUAAACCUAAUAAGUGUGAUUAAUCUCUCUAGUUUAAUUUAAUCAUCAUUCACAUCAAGUCAUGAUCACUUAUUGGCGAUUUUGUGUUCAUUGGACGGACUAUUUCUCUUUUCUGUUUUCUUAUGUUAAUCCGUGAAUAAUUAACGUCAUCUAGAUGAAUAAUUAAAUAGAACAAUCUUGUUUGCUUCUAACAAUUUUAGUCAAACAAAUAAACCUUGAUUUCAAUUCUUACCUAUCCUUGAAUAUCAGCAUCUAAUCGCGCUUGCAUGUGAUGACUUCCCAAUUUAAAAGUAGUGCUUAUUGGCACACUUAACUGCCUCAACGCGUAUAAGCGUAGUUCUUUGAAGGCUUCUUACCAUAAUAUUUUGAGUUGUUAUCACUUUACCCCCUUCAACUAUAUUACUACUAUCAGUUUACCCCCUAACAUUAUCUUUUAGUCACUUCACUCCCAUAAACAUUUUUAUUGGCCAUAGGAAUUACUUGCUUGUGAAAUUGAGAAAGGAUGAGAAAUUGAAUUGAUCUAAUCAAAAUUAUGGUAUAAUUUACUUGAUAUUUUGAGUGCUUGAGCGUAAUUAAAUGAUUGCAUAAUGGUCAUUUACCUUGUUUUGAGAAAAUGAAUUUGAAUUAUGCACAUAUGUUUAAUUUCAAAGUGUUGGUUUGUAAUUCUUAAUUGAUUGAAGACAAACAAUAGUUCAAGUGUGGAAGAAUUUCAUAAGUGUGCAUUUUAUGUAUUUUAAAUGUGUUUUUUUAAUUUAGUUUUGAUAUGUUUUAUCCAUUUUUUAUAGGUAAUGAAUCGGUUUCUAGUGAAAGUUUGCAUUUUAUGGUUUAAGUGUGAAAAUUACAUUUCUAUGGACUAAAAGGGUGAAGACUUCAUAUUUUUGUAGAAUUCAAGAAUUCAAUCAUAAAUUAGAAUGAUAUGAGAAGAUAUUUGAAUGAUUGUUGAUUAUUUGAAGGGAUUUAAAGAGAAUAUAAAGUGUAAAAUGUUCAAAAGAGGAAAUACAAUCAAGUAUAAAAGAAAGGGAGUUUGACAGCUUCGAUAUCUAUUCGUAUUUCAACUAUAUCUCGAGUUAUAAGUUUUGGAUUAAGGUAAUUCUUGAAUCAUUUUAAAUCAAACACAUAGCUCUACAUUUCUUAUGAAGAUAUCGAAAUCCAGUUCAUGAGUCUUCCUAGUCAAAAUGUCAAAAUACAGUUGGUCAUUUUUUGUUGUUGAAAGCUGAAAUGGGGUUCUGACUAGGCAAGGGUAAUUUGGUGAUUUAUCAGUCUACAGACUUCCAAAUCAAAUGAUUCUUAAAGUAUUGGAAAGUUAACUCAAAGUAAUAUAACUUUUAUAUUUUUCACAAGAGUUAGUUAAACCUCUUUCAUCAAAAAAAAUAUUAGUGGAAUUUUGUGCACAAACAGAGCAAAUUUGAAGACUGACCAGAAGGCAAAACGUGGGCCAAAUACACGACCUCAACCCAUGUUUGCUGAGGUCAUGUAUUCUUCAACUGUAGUUACAACUUGUAUUCUAUUCACACAAACUUUUUGACCAAUUUGUCUGCAAAAAUUUCUGGCUAGAUAUGAGCAGGCAAGCAUAGAGACUUUAAGAAACAUUUUUUGGUGAUUUCGAGAGACAAUUUUGCCAACUAGAAACAACUCUCUUUGACCUUGAGUUCUCUAUAAAUAGAGGCCUUUGGGGAGCUAGUUUAAUAGCUUUGGAAGGCUAGAAAUGCUACCAAAAAUGUAGUUUUCAAUAGUUUUUCUUAGUUUAUUAGUUUAAUUCAUUACUAUAGUAUAAUUAAUAUAGUUUUUUCAUCUUGUACUUGCAGCUAGAUUUGGAUGAAGAUUUGAGAAGCAAAGAUAGAGAGUUGAAACUCAUGUGACAAGGGUGACUUCUCUUCUACCACUUUCUCUUUUGUAUUUGAGUUCAUGUUUGACUAUAUACAAGUGCGGUCUUUUCUUUCAUGUUCUUCAUGUUUGCUAAAGUUUAUGCCUAGAAUUAUGAAUGAACUUUCUAUAACUUGUUAGUGAUGUUUAAUUGGUAAUUCAAUAAUAUUAUUUUGAACAAGUUGUUUGUAACUUUUACUUUUCUAAUCAUGAUUAACCAAUCAUUAAUUGUAAUAAUAUUAAGGUAUAAAAUUUGCAAUGAGAAUUGGGAUUUAACACUAAUUUAAGGAAGUGAUAAAUCUAGGGAGUUCACUCACGAGAGUAGAGGUGCAUCUAUGUGGGUUUAGUAACUUAUUUCAUGUAAUUUCAUAAAAGGAAUGAUCUUAUAGCUAUUUUCAUAACCAUGAGAGAAGGUAUGAUUUAGUUACAAGUAUAGUUGAUUCUUUACAAGAGUAGGUUUCAUAUCAUAUAUUUUACAUGUUUGAAGUGUGUUUUAUUAAUUAGUUUUGGUGUGUUUUGAUUGUUUUUAUAGCUAUAAACUAAGCUUUUAGUCAAGUUUGCAUUUCAUGGUUUAAGUGUGAAAGGUUACACUUUUAUGGAUAAAAGUGGUGAAAUUUCAUAUUUUUGUAGGUUUAAUGAUUCAAUCAUCAGUUGGAAUGAGUUUAGAAGAUAAAUGAAUGAUUGUUGAUGAUUUUAAAGUGAUUUAAAGAGAAUAUGAAGUGUAAAGAGGAAAUGCAAUCAAGAAUAAAAGAGGAAAAGUUAGACAGUUUUGACAUUUGUUUGUAUUUUAGUUAUAUCUUGAACUACACGCAUCAGAUUGAGAUGAUGUUUGAGCUAUUUCGAAGAUAACACAUAGCUCUACAUUUCUUAUGAAACAUCUAAAACCAUUUCAUGAGUUUUCCUAGUUAAAAUGUUGAAAUACAGUUAGUCAUUUCUUUUGUCGAAAGUUAAAAUAGAGUUGUGAUCAGUGAAGGGUAUUUUGGUGAUUUCAUAGUCUACAUAACUCCAAAUUGGAUGACUUAAAGCAUUGGAAAGUUAACGCAAAGGCCUGCAACUUUCUUGGUUUGGAAAAGGACUAGUUCAGGCUCCAUCAUUAAGAAAAUAUCAAUUAAAUUGGUGUUAAAUUCACAGAAAUGAAAACGUAAGUUCUAAAUACACGAGCUCAAGUUACAUAUUCAUGAGGUCACGUAUUCUCCCCUAUUUUCUGCAACUUGCACAUCAAUUUGUUCUAUAUUCAUAUAACUUUUUUAACUCAUCUACAACUCAAAAUUUCAUCUGUAAAGAAGAGUAAAAAUUUGGAGAAACAACUUUUGAUGAUUCUAAGAGCCAACUAGCACUAACUUUAACAUUAUUACUUGGAAGUUUAAUCCUCUAUAUAUAGGGGCCUUGGAGAGCGUAUUUGACAACUUUGGAGGACUAGUGACACUAUCAAAAUGUAAUCUCUUCUUCAUUAAUUUUUCUUAGUUUAUUAGUAUACUAUAGUUAGUAUAGUUUUUCCAUCUUGUAUUUGUAGUUAGAUUUGGAUGAAAAUUUGAGGAACAACAAUGGAGAGUUGGAAGUCACGUGACAAGGGUAACCUCUUUCCUAUCACGUUCUCUUUUGUAUUUGAUUUCAUAUUUAAUCAUAAUACAAGUUUGGAUUUUGUUUUCAUGUUCUUCAUGUUUUGCUAAAAUUUAUGCUUACAGUUAUGGAUGAAUUUUCUAUAUUUUAUUUGUGAUAUUUACUUGGUUAUUUGAUAAUAUUAUUUUAAACAAGUUAUUUAUCACUUUGUUUCUCUAAUCGUGAUUAAUUGGCCAUUAAUUGUGAUAAUCUUAAGUUGUUAAACUUGCAAUGAGAAUUGGGAUUUAACACUAGUUCAAGGAAAUGCUAAACUUAGGGAGUUUACUCAUGAUAGUUGAGAUGCACUUAUGUGGAUUUAGUGACUUAUUUCAUGUAAUUUCAUAAAAAGAAUUAAUUUGUACUUAAUUUCAUAAUACGAGAAUAGGUAUGGUUUAGUUACAAGUAUAGUUGAUUUACUACGAGAGUAAGUUUCAUAUAUAUUAAAAAAUUAUGUCAUAACUAGUCAAGAUAAUUACAUUCAAUUAACCGGUAAUUUCAUUUGCAAGAGUAGAGAAGAAUUCCAUAACCGUAUUAGCUUUCUAUUAUUAUUUUAUUACUUUUAUUUUAUAUUUGUUAUGUACAUUUAAUUUUUUUGUAUUUGUGGUAGUCUAAAUAAUAAAGAAAUUUGAAAACCAUUGGUAAUUGACAGUUUUCUCUGUGAGUUCAACCCUUAAUACCCUAUACUCAAUUUCAACUCGUAAACUUGUGAAAAAUUGCAUGUAGGAUAUUUAAAAUUUUAUAAAUAUAAAACUUGACUGUAGAGUAAACUUGAUUGUUAUAUGCAUACCCCGUGCUUAUUAAUAUAUAUGAGGAAAUCAUGCCACAACUAAUUAAGAUAAUAGCAUUCAAUUAAUCGAUAAUUUUAUUCAUAAGAGUAGCAAGGAAUUCUAUACGUUAGGAGUUUAUUAUUAUUAUUUUUAUAACUUUUAUCUUAUAUUUUUAGUGUAAAUUUAAUCUCUUACACUCGUCAUAAUUUAAAUAAUAAAGAAGUUCAAAAUCAUCAGUAAUUGACACUCUUUCCUGUGGGAUCGAUAUCUUAUAUCUCUCAUGCUCGAUAAACGAUUUGUAUACUUGCAGAAAAUGGGGUAUUUUAGAUUUUAUUAAAAUUUGGUGCAUGGUAGAAUCUCGUCACUUUUAUUAAAACUAGUCCCAUAUCAUCUAUAUAAAGAAAAAUGACGACACAAUACUCUUGAGUGAACUUAGCAUUAAUGAACUUAUCAGUAUUAUUGUACUAAAUCCACUCGAGAGCAAUAUAGAUUCAAAUUUCUAAUGCCAUGUGUUUAGGUGCUUGUUUCAAGCCACAUAAUGAUUUAAUUUAGCUUGUAUACUUUCUUUUCAUUUUCAAGCAUAACAAACCUUUUAGGUUGUUUCAUAUGCAAUCUUCAUCCAAAUCACCAUUUAAAAAUGCUGUUUCAAUAUUCAUUUGAUGUACAAAAAAUUGUACAAUAAAAUUAGGGACAAUAGCACUCUAAUGGAAGUUAUUCUUGUAAUUCGUACAUAUAUUUCAAAAUAGUCUAUUUCUUCCUUUGUUUAAAUUCUUUAACUACUAACUUUGCUUUAAAGGUCAGUAAAGAUCUAUUCGUGGCAUAUUUUCUUCUAAAUACCCACUUAUAAUCUAUUGGUUUUGAAUAUUUAGGUAAAUCAACUAGAAAUUAAGUAUUGUUAGACAAUAAUUAGUCCAUUUAAUCAUUUACCACUUCUCUCCUAAAAGAAGCAUCUCUUGAUGACAUAAUUACACUAAAUAUUUUAGAAUCAUUUUCUACAUUCAGCAAGAUUGGAAUCUUAUUUUGUAGAGAUUCCCUAUUGCUUUCAACUAAGAAAACAAUAGCUCAUGAAGAUAUGAAGUAUGAGAAUAGAUGCUUUUCUUUCCUUGGUCUUUGACAUCUUUUAAUUUCAAUAGGAGCGCCACUUACCUUUCCUUAUUACUUGAAAAAAAAAUCAAUAUUUUGGAGUUGUUAUAAACCAUUAGUAGGAUCCACAACAGGCUCUAAAUCUUUGAAAAACUUAUUCUCAAAAUUUGCAAUUCUCUUGAUUUAACUAUAAUAUUAAAAUCAAGGUCAACCAACCUAUAAGUUUUAGAAUUUUCUGCACAGCCUACAAACGUACCGACAAUUUUAGCCACACCUUUGGUCACAUCUGUAGCAUAUGUUAGCCAACCUGCAACUUGACUCUUCAGUCACAUUUCUUAUUGGCUAAAACAACAUAGCUUCGGAUAAGAAAUUCUGAUAGGAAUGUCAAUUUUAGGAUUUGCAGCUCAAGAUGUAGGCCAUUUUGGUUCAAAACAGAAUUGAUUUAGCAAUACAGGGAGUUGAGAAAAAGUCAAAGAGUGCAAUAGAUGCAAAUUUUACUGACGUAAAAUGUUACUACGUGAAACUUAUCAAAUGAUGGUCCAAACUUGUCCUCAUAGUAUUCAUAAGGAAGUAAUGUUAGCAAAAGUCAAUCGAAAUUUCAUAAAUUUGUCCUUGUGAUUCUUUCAGAAAUGAAAGUGAUGAUCAAAGCUAAAUGUUAACGGAAGAGUAAGAUGAUAAUCUUACCUCUCUUUCUAAAAUGAUGUCCUAAACUAGAGUUUGGCAAACUAAUCCAAAGGAAAAAUGCAAAAUUUAUAUUCAUGUACUAACAUUCAUAAAUUUUCUGAUUGACUUCUUUUAGCUGACUGAUUUCUCCUGAUAGACUAAAAUCUUUGGGCCAAACAAAAAUCAGAGAAGGACAACCGUUUUCAGAAAGAAGCGCGCAGGUAAUGGAUGUCAAUGUCUUUUUAGUGUUGGCAAGUAAUUUCCUUCUUCCUUCAAUUCUUAAAGUAAUUUAUCAACUUCCAUUAAGUGGGCAUGCUGAAACAUGCUCAUCUAACCUAACAAGCAUAUACUUUGUGGUAGAGUACCUCUAAUUAGGUGAAACCAUAUUGGAGAACUUCACGUGAAACAUUUAUCAUUGAUCUCCCACCUUCAUUAGUCUUCCGAAAUGUUACAUAUUCCAAGUGGUUUCUUAAUAAUUAUAAAUUAUUUUUAGAUUUGCUUCUCUUUCUUAGCUAAAACAUAACAGAUAGAAUGCUACAAUAACAAAACCUGUUUAUUGAUCAUUCAAACUGCAAUUUUUUGGAUUGUGACUAUUUAUCUUGAAGUAGACAUGUCAAAAUAAUUUAGUUAAGAACCAAGAAGGUACCUGGUACUUAGAAGGACUAACUGUUAGCACAGUUGUAUAAUGAGUCUCUCUUGUUCUUGAGUGGAAAGGUAUAACCUAUUGUCCAAUUUACAAAGGCCUUGCAAGAUCUGGCGGGAACCUUUGAACGAGGAUGUAGAAAUUCUUGCCGCUGCAAUUGCAGCACCAAAACUUUGAACUAUUUCCAUCCAAAUGAACGACUGACACUGCAAUCGCAUGCUUCGUUUAUGUCAUCCAAAUGAUCACCAAUGCUGUCUACAAUGUCUAACUUCUUUCCAUCAAAUCUUGUCACCUCUGGAAUUAAAGUAUCAGUACGCCCAGUUUUCUUCAAGCAAGUCUUGUACCUUGAUAGCUCUCCAGUACCAGCUACCAUGCUCUUCUCUAAUUCUUCUCAAUCCAUACUACUUUCUACAAGCCUGGCACAAGCCACUCUGUUUUCAGCAUGCUACAAGGAGAAAAGGUUCAAUAUUUGAUUUAUUUUGUUAAAUACUUCCAGAAAAUAGAUAAAAAACAAAAAUGAAAAGCCAUUGAAACAGGCCAAUAGACAUGCAGUCAACAUUUUUUACCUUCAUUUCCAUAUUCUGAGCAAUAUAUGGCAUUCUGGCGGGAAAAAUCACAGAUAACUACCUUCCAUCUUCAAAAACUGACUGAUAAGUGAAAAUAACUCCUCCCUCUUGACAUUCUCAUAAGAACAACACGGGAACGUUGGUGUUCUUUGUCCAAAAAGCAUGAUCUCUACUUCCUAAACAAAUUCUGGAAAAAAAAAAACAUAAUAUUACGUCACAAUGCUACUUCAGUUAUGACAUUAAGUAGAAGCAUGAGCCACGGAAAGGUUUGGUCUGGUAACUAGUGCAACAAUUUAUCACUCAAAAUCCUAAAGAGCAAAAACCAAGUUAUAUUCCAUCGAUUAAGCCAUAAAGAACACUUACUAGUGCAGAUACCACCCUACAUUUAGGCCCAAUUCCCCUGUACUUCUAGUAAGUUGGGUGGAGAAAUUUCCAAACCACAUACCUCCUCAUCUUUCUUCAAAAAUGAUUCGAAACCACAACCUGAUGUUGCAGUUGGAGAAUGCGAAAAGUGCAAUAAGAUGCUCUAGAGGUUCCAGGCUGACUCUGCCUUAAGCAAACUUUUGAGCCUUUCACAAUGUUUCGGCGCUAUCACUGCUUGCUGCUUCAUUGACACUUGUGGCCUGCAAGGCCAUAAUAUUAUCAAUCCAAUUCACAAAAUAGAAAAGUAGCUAGUUAUAGUAUCUGAAUUUUAAAAAUUUUAAAAGAUGAUAAGAAUUUAUAGUUUUAGCAGCAGCCUAGUUCCUCUGCAAACAAUUUCAACUUAAUCGACAUUGAGCUAAUUUUACGGCAAUCAUAAUUCAGAGUCUUAAAAAAAAAAAGAACAUACCCCAUUGAAGCUGAAUGUUUACGCUUGCAAUGUUAGUAAAUUUUGUUGACAAACAGUCAGCAAGUUCAUAUAUAAUAGUAUAUUGUACCUUGUUAUUCAUCCUUUUAAUGGUUCAGAAAAGCAGAUGAAAUCCACAAUUUUUGUUGUCUUUGAAUUUGCUCGUAACUCUACUUUGUUAAUGACAUGAAUCAGCUUAAAAAUUGAAAGAGAGAGUAAUCUUCGCCAGAAGAAGUAGAGGAAUAGAUAUUUACAGAGAAAAAGAGUGAGAAACAAAUACGGAUAGAAUAAGAUGGUGAAGAACAGCGAUAUCCAAUAAUGAGAAGCUAUUAAUCAAAAUUUUGCAGUGAAAUCUUACCCGAUGGCUCGGAAAGAUGACUUUUAAUCAAUUUCAAGCUCUUGAAUAUUAGAGAUCUUGGGCCACUCGGAGCCGCUUUGAGGAGUGCAUGUUUCGGUUAAUAGAGGACAAUUACCAAUUUCCAGACGUCUUAAUUUGAGGCGUUCCAUGGCAGCCAUGGAGGGUAAAUAUUCAAGCUUUUCGCAACCGAAUAGGAUUAGCUCAUCAAGAGACGCAAGGUUCCCAAGCCAAUCUGGUAAAGCUUCGAUUGCUCCGAAGUCACGUAGAGAUAGUGAUGUGAUGGUAGUCAAGUCUUGAAGCUGAUGUGGCAGAGAUUUCAUGUCAGGCAUUCCACGUAAAGACAUGUGUCGGAGUGUUGAUGAAGAUGCUAAUCCAGCCCAAUCAAAUUCGAUUACAGAGUAAUCCGAGAAGGGGCCAAUCUCCACAUUCCUUAAGCUGGUAAGAUAGCCAAAUCCACUAGGCAUCUCAGCAAUCAAGUUGGGACACCACCAUAACGAGAAGCUCUCGAGAGAAGGGUUCGUCGCAAAUCAAGGGGAAAGAUAGACGUACACGACUCGAACAUCUCCACUGGUAAUCUUGUGAAUGAUUCGCACAUAUCGACAGUAAAUUCCUCAAGAGACUUAAGGAGGCUUUUCUGUCCAAAUGAAUUUUUAGGAUUUGGAUAUCCAAAUGAAUCAAUUCUCGGGCAACCCUGUAUCUCCAAGUGCUCUAAAGCUUGAAAUUGAUAAAGAUCUUCUGGCAACUCAUUCCUCUUAAUGUUGUUAUAUUAUUGACAAACCUCAAUUCUACACUCUGAAGAGUUGGAAAAAGACAGAGUCGCUCAAGCAUGUCAGUGGGUAGACUGUCACAGCCAUCAAUACUCAAGCUGCUCUCUGGUCGUCUCACUAAUUUCAGAGACUCGAUGCGGUGAUAACUACCACCACUUAAUUUAAGGGACGAGAGAUUGGCUAUAUUGCUCAAAACCUUUUCUGCCAGCGAAACAUGGCAAUUCUUUUUUAUUUUCAAUACAUCAAGACUUGGGAAACGACUUGGAGUUGGAAUGGUGGUCAGCUGGGGGCAAUUACUAAUAGACAACUUUUCAAGCACGGGAAACACAUCCAUCACAUGUACUUCACCUGCGGUUGACAUCAUCUCGGUGCGUCCUUCCACUCUUUCAAAUUUUUCAUGCUUUCAAGAGAGAGUUUUUUAAGGGCUGGAAAGAAUGUUUGUCUGCUAAUAGUGCUUGAACCUCCUGAUCCGCCGUCCUCCUCAGCACUUGUACUGUAGAAUGAAAGCCCAAUGCUUCUUAUGUUUUCCAGUCCAGUCAGAUAUAGAUGUUGGAGGAUGACAGCUGUCCUAGGGUGGGGAGUUCUCUGCAUCUUGUGCAAUCCUUCACCCGCAACUCCACCAGUGAUGUCAAUGUCAAAUUCAUGAACCAUUGUGGGAACUGAUCACCCAUGAACUUCAAAAUUUGUAACUCUUUUAAAUUUGGGUGAGGUUGGAGGCCUUCCAACACAUCUUCAUCACAAUUAACACUUCCCGAUACCUAUUGCACCACUCAUAUACCAACCGAUGCAGAUUUGGCUUUUUAGAUAGGUUUGCUAGUUCAGCAUCAUCUUUGCCAUUUACUAAUUCAAGAUUUCUGAUCUCCAAGGAGCCUUUAAGAUCUUGCAAGGUUCCAAGCUCUUGGAUACCACGACCUUCCUCUUGACGACCAAUGUUAAAGAACUCUAACUUUUGAAGACAAGUCCAUCGUCCAAUCCCGGAUGGCAUUUGGAUUUCUCGUCUUGUAUAAUUAUUAUUAUUAUAGUGAAGAUGUCUCAUGCUAAUCAAAUUGCUCAUCUCCUUUGGAAAACCUUCUUCAAGCAUGCCAAUUCUCAGUGUUUGCAAACAGUAAAGUUUGCAAAGAGAUUCUGGCAAAGUUCUAAUCCAAGAACCUGAAAUGUCAAGUAAGUGUAAAUGGAUUAGUUUGCCAACGGAGGUCGGCAACUCUUUGACAUCUGCUCCAAACAAUUUUAGGACAUGCAAAUAUUUGAACUUUGAUAACAUAUCAUCAGCUAUGCCACCCUCCAGAAAUAAUGUGCGAAGUGAUGAUUUUUCACUGAUGGUUUCCACCAUUCUUUCGGAUGAGUAUACUGCAAGGUAACGGUCCUGAUUGCUGCUGUUACGAUUCAAAAUUGAUUUUGCAAAAUCAUGCACAAGAUCAUGCAUUUUAUACCAUGUUCCCCUCCAAUCUCUUACUUCUUCCAAUAAGGAAGUUUGCAGCAAAAUUCUCAAUACUCAUAUCCUAUUUUCUCCAUCAUUCUUUCAUUUUGGAAUCCGGUCGAAGAAAGCCUUCAGCCAUCCAAAGCUCAACUAGUCGAUCUUGUUCCAAUUCAGUAUCUUGAUGAAAAAUUGAGCAAUAUGCAAAACAUUUCUUAACCGGUGCAGGUGACAGAUGAUCAAAACUCACCUUAACUAUUUGCUCAAUCCCACCCUGAUCUCCAUUCAAGAGACUCUCCUCCAAAAUAGAUAGCCAGUCCUCUUUUCUCUUUUUAGAUAACAAACCUCCGAUUAACUUUGCUGCCAGAGGAAGACCGUCACAUCUUCUUAAAACUUGGCGCCUCAUGUCUUCCAAUUCUUUUGGUACUUCUUCCCCUAAAGUUGCCCAUUUUUUAAUGAUAGACCAGCAAUCAUCAUUGCAGAGCUUUCCUAGCUCAUGGCGAGUAAAAUUGAUCUGCGGAUGUCUAGACAGAAUAAUUGCCACUUCUUGCAGACGAGUGGUAACAAGACACCAGCUCCCUUUCUUCGCAUUGAGUCCCGCCAAUGUGCUGAAAAAGUCAUUCAACAAUACUUCUUGAUCAUUCCACAAAUCAUCAAGAACAAGGAAAUAUUUUUUUUCCUUGAGUUCAUCUUGAAUUUUUUGAACUAUUACCUCCCUACGAUCCCUUCAACCUUUCCUUCUAUCAACGAUUCUAGAAUCAUUUUGAAGACCUCCUCGAUUCUAUCUACUUUUUCAGCCACACAAACCCAAAUUUUUUUUGUCAAAAUGCUUAUGAAUCUGUGAUUUGUUGUAAACGGCUUUAGCUAGAGUUGUUUUUCCUAAACCACCCAUGCCAGUUAUGGGAAUAACUGAAAUAACACUUUCAGUUUCGGUCAACAACUUCUUAACGAUUUCUGAUUCAUCCUCGUCUCUUCCUAGGACAUCUCUUCGAACAAUAGUAGAGGAGAAAUUUCUAAGUUUGUGAUGAAUUUUAAAAAAAUUCUACAAAAGGGGUGAUUGUGGCGAGGAAUUCUGUCGGGGGUCUUCGCAUUCGUGAAAUGCGAGCUCAGGAGAGCUCGCAUUUCACGAAUGCGAGCUCUGUUGAGAGCUCGCAUUCCUGGAAUGCGAGCUCUCAUUUGCUCGCAUUACAGAGAUGCAAAUUUUUUUGCUUUUUUUUUUUGGAGGCAGAGAUUUAUAUUUUUGUAUUAAAACAAAAAAGGAUUUUGACAAUCAGUGAUUCCGGAAAUGGGCUGUACCAUCCUGUCAGUAGGUUCCUUGUUUCUUAUGACAAAAUUCAAGCCUGAACUGGAUGUCGGAGACGCCCAACGUAUUAAUAGUUCAUUUCCUGUUGAGAUGUUCCAUGAAGCUUGCCACUCCUCAGGUGGUUCUUGAGGUGUUGCAGUGCCUACAACUUUCUCUGCACUAGAUGACAAUUGCAUGUAAAAUAAGCACGGAGGUUGAGAAGGAAACAGCAUAACUGAAGAAUCAAAACAGGUGGAAGCAGUGAGAAAGAGCUACAUUAAAGCACAUACCAGGGGCUUUGCCGAUCGAACUACAAACGUAGGACCAAGAACCUUCACGAAUCUCUAUGAUCCUGUCCUCCCAUUUAACAGCUGAAGGUGUUUCGCCUCCUCUCCUCCAAAAUCCUCCUCCCAUCCUGGAUCAUUCUUAAUCAUUUGAAACUCAGCAUACUGAAUAAAGCAGACACUAAUCACUGAGCUCGCAUUUCCGGAAUGCGAGCUCGAAUUGAGCUCGCAUUCCCGAAUGCGAGCUCAGUGAGCUCGCAUUUUCAGAAUGCGAGCUCAGUGAGUUCGCAUUCUCAAAAUGCGAAGACCCCCAUUUACAGAAACUCCUCCAGGAAACGCCCUCGUUGUAGAAUUCUUUUUUUUUUUCAUCAUAAACUAAGAAUUCACCCAAUAGUAGAGUCGGUCUGUCGGCUUGUUGUGGCUCCAGCAGCAACAGUAGCGAAUGCUUCUUCAACUUGGUGCUUGUAGGCCAGUCCCAAACCUUCUGCAUCCCGAUGGAUCCUUUGAAGGUUCGUGUUGAUCUCCCUGAUCAUUGAACCCAACCCAACGAAAACCAAUUUUAUUAAAGAAUGAAAAGAAGAACAGUACCUUCUUUUUCGUGAGUUGAUUUUGAUACUUCACCUUCCGACGAAGAUUUUCAUAGUUGAGCUCGUCCAGCACAUUGUCGGCUUUGAAAACCUCUUCUUCCAGCUGCUUGAGCCAAUUUUGCACCACUGGGCUAUGCUUGUCCUCGUCGGCACCAGCCAAGAAGCCUCGGAUCAUUGCAGCAGAUUUGUCGAGUCUCACCAGUUCCUCUGGGAAUUCACGAGCCAGAUUAACAUGAUCAGCGGCUAGGGAAACAACCGUCUGCAAUGCAACCUGAAUAGUAGCACUAACAGCAGCAUCAGCCAUUUUUUCUCACUUGGGAUUGGAAGUAGGAUGAAAGUGUUCUGCAAUGGUGAUGGGGGGAUGCUUUCUGCGAUGAGACAAGGAAGGAAGGGUUCAACUUCAGCAGCUAUCAGAGGGAAUGAAAUUUGCAAGUCGACUUUCAAAUUUGUCCGCCUUUGCAAUAUGCCGGGCUCCACUGCACGCUGUAAAGACACAGCUUUAGACUCUAAAAGACACAAUGGACCACAGCGCCACUCUAAAGACACAUAAAAGCUGUCCGUGAUUUACGGAUCACAGCCUCUGUUAUCAAAGGAAGUUGCAGACAAUUGCAUGUGUGAGCCAGCCUGCAACUUGACUCUUCGGUCACAUUUCUUAUUGGCUGAAACAGUAGGCUCUCUGAUUCCUCCUAUCACUAAUACUAGGAGGCAUGAACGCGCUUCGCGCGAUAGAAAUAUAAAAUGGCCUGCCCAAUUUUAAACUAAUCAAAAUAAUUUUAAACUAAUCAAAAUAAUAAUUUAUAUAGAAAAGUAUAUUUUUUACUAUAGGUAUUCUAUAAGUCUGAAGUUUUGUUGAUAUUUCUUGGAUGUUUGUCACAAAGCCUCUGGUAAGUGGCAACUGGCAACGUAGUAUAUAAUACAGGGUAAGGAAAGAAAGAGCACCCCACAAGUUUCUGUUGUUUAUGAUUAUAAUUAACAGAACAACAUUUAUAUCUCUGUAGUUUGUUUUCAAGGCAUGACUCUUUAAUAAUUUUCCAAAUUAAGAAUUUUAUUUUUCUUUCAAAAUUUUUUUUCUAUGUCUAUUACAUCUAAACUAUUAAUUUGGUAAUCAAUUAUUCUUAUUUAGUAGUGAGAGGUAAACAAUAACAGGCUUUAAAAAAUUAUAGGGAAAAUGACCGGUUUCAUCCCUUACAUUUCACAAAAUUAUUCUUUUCGUCCCUCACUUUUAAAACGAAGCAAUUUCAUCCUUGACAUUUAAAAACUGAAGUUAUUACAUCCCUGAACCCAAUUUUCAAUGUGAAUCAAACCAUCUAUCAACCUAAUUACAAAUUUUGGGGAUAUAAUUGGUAGAUCACUUGACUAACUCAACUUGAUAUUCACGUGAAAUUUAAUAAAACCAAAAAUAAAAAAUAAAAAUUAUAACAUAACAAAUAAGAAUUAAUCUUCCUACAUUGUCAUUGUAUACAUUGAUGGGUUUAUGUACCUGCCAUAUCAUUCAAUUUAAAUUUAAACACCAAAUUUUAUAUUUAUGAUAUACAUGUAGACUCACAAGCGUAUAUACUAACGCUACAUGAAAGAUUUAUCCCAAAAAGAAAUCCUAUUAUUCCAAGACAAAGAAUGACCUUUUAUGUUAUACUUUUUAUUUUUUUUGGUUCAAUAAAUGUCAUGUGAAUAUGAUCUAUCAAUUCUAUCUCCGAAAUUUAUUACUGGGUUAUUGGAUGGUUUGAUUUAAAUUGACAAUUAGGUUCAGGGAUGUAAUAGGUUUAAUUUUUAAAUGUCAGGGACCAAAUUGCUUCAUUUUAAAAGUGAGGGACGAAAAGAAUAUUUUUGUGAAAUGCAAGGGAUGAAAUAGGUCAUUUUUCCAAAAUUAUAAAUUAAUUUUAAUAUUGUCAUUCUAUCAAAUAUUUAUCUUUUUUUCAUACGUCUUUGUUAGCUUCCAUUUUGAUUUUGAGUGUCAUUAAUAGGUGGUAUAGAAUUGCAGUAUUUCUUAAGUCCUAACAACACUUCCUUUUAAAACUAAACCGUAUUAACAAAAAAAGUAAAGAUAAAAAAAUAGUAUACUUAACAACUCUCUUCAAUUUCAAACAAAAUAUAUAUUAACUAAGUAUUGGUAUUUUUAGGCAAUUUAACUUCAGUUUUAUUACGGUUCUUUCUAAUGAAAGAGAAUAAAAUUAUUACUAAACAGUAAAGACAAAAUUCCAAUUCCAUGAAAACAAAAAGAGUUUUGAUUCGAUUUUUUCUAAAUAAUUCUAACUAAUAUAAUGAAAAAUUAUUACCAGACAAGAAACACAAAAUUCCAAUUCCAUGUUAAAAAAAACAUUUUUUGAUUCUAUACAAAUCGUAGGAAAAAAAAUUGUAAAUGACAAAGCUAUUGUAUUACAAACCAAUUGUUUCUAUCUUGAGUUUUACGAGCCUUUAAUUCAUAACUAAGUGUUAUAAUUCAAAUGCUUUACAAAUGGUUGAAACAAAGCAAACAAUAACUAUUUAAUAGUUAUAAUCAGUAAUACCUAAAACAUAUUAAUAUACAACAAAAAAAAUUAUAUACAAUAUUAUAAUUCAUUAAUACAUACAAGAUCAAAUGUCAUCAGGUAUAAGUAAAUGCAAUUACAUACGAUAUAAAUCAAAGUCUACCUAAUCUAACCUUUUUUUAAAAUUAAGAAACAAAAUUAUCAAUAAGAGACAAACAAAUACAAAAUAUCAUUUUUUUAUUUUAAUUAAUAUACAUAUUUAAUAUACGUAGACAGAGCAAAAUUAUAAUGAAAUGAACAAAUUUAUCUCUCAUUUGUAUAUAAUUAUUUAGAACUUGGCAUAAACAAGUGAUUGCAACCAAUAAUUUAGGAAUAAUUAAUUAAUUUUGUUAUCAAAGUGGAUAGAGGGACCAUUAAAUUUUUUUUAAAAAAAGAAAUUUGUUAUAUUGGAAAUUCAGAACCAAAGACUGUAAAAAUGUCGUAGUACUUCAUGGAAUCUACAAAGACAACACAUGCCUUGGCGGCACUACUAAACAAAGCAGAAGACGGAUUCUGGGACCUCAUGAAUUGUCCUUUAUUCCUUGUAACGAAGUAAUGGUAGUAAAAAUAAUCCUUUCAUCAUGGCUGUUGCUCUUAUCUUCUCAGCGAAUUUUCGUAUUUGGAGUUUGGAGGCCAGAGAAGCUUGUACAAUAAUAACUUAGCCAAUAAUGAAUUCCUAGUCUGUACACACUGUAUAUAGUGAAUGGAUAGGUUCUGAUGGUUUAGACAAUCAAAUAAUCAGAAAUAAGAAAGAAAAACAGCUUAGAUCCGUACUCUAAUGGUCUCUAAAGCAGUUCACAAACAGAUACAAAUUUCUGGAUCCAGUCCUCGCAGCUUAAAGCAAGCAAGGGAUUUACAAGCAGCUGACUACAUCAAUGAUAAAUGAUUUAUGAGCACAACAUUUUUUAAUACCUUCAGCAAGGUACUUUUCUGACAUUUUCAUGAAGCUAAUAAGUCUAACUGGUCAAUCAAAAUACAUCGUAUAAGAAAUUAAGAUUCUACCUACUGCGCUGACUGUACAAAUAUACAGAGUGAUAUAAAGCCAUCCAGCCUAAAUCUUCCACUCCUCUUCUGAUCAAAACUCUACAAAUUACAAUUGAAAAGGAAAAAAUUAGUCAGAGCACAUAAAGCACAAGUAAACUCUAGGUAAAAAUUAGUCAGAGCACAUCAAGUGCAAGUUGGCUCCGAAACCUCAGAUCAUUAAAACACAAAUCAUGAUAAGUGUUCAGAAACUGGAGAUUUAGAUAACAAGUCAAAUCAGUUGAGUGUCAAAGUGUGAGAUCAUUAAGACACAAAUCGGUUGAGUGUCAAAUCAUUGAAACACACACUGUUCAGAUCAUUAAAAAACACAAAUCAGUUGAGCAUCAGAGUACUUCAAAGAUAACAAGUUUGCUAUAUGCAUAUAAAUCCUCACCGUUCUAAGAGAAACUGGAUAUUGUAUAUAAAAUAGAAGGUAACAUACAUGAAGUUUGCUCAAUCUCCAUCUUAAUUAGCCUUUUUCUUUUUGGGAGGGGAGGGUGCAGUUCAGAUCACCUCAUGAGUAAAUAAAAGAAUAUCAUCAGAACUCAAACAUUUAUCCAAUUGUAUUGUGAAACUUACACCUAACAAUCAUAGUAAACAGUACUAUAACCUUGUAGACAUCGUCUGGAACAAGAUAUCCACGGCCCCUGCAGGUAAACAGAUAAAAUAUCAUGAUUAGCCCUUGGGUCAGAGCAUAUAAGAGGAGGUACCUCAAACUGUGAAACUUAAACAUUCCUUUUCUUAUGAUGACAGAAAUUAGAGAAAGAAAAAAGAAAUAAGUAAUGAGCUUGUAGAUAUACAUUGGGAAAAUGUUACCUAAUUCUGCAAAUUAAAAGAAAACCAGAUAAAAAAAUAUAUUUAGAGAAAAAUCUUACAAGCAGUAAUUUGAACUUCGACUCGCCAUCACAACAGUCAUCUCCGCAUUGUACACCUCGUUGUUGCUGAAAAUUCAAAUAGAGAUAUAUUAUAUAUUAUUUGUACUGUUUAGAUGAAAUCAAAUAGAUAUACACAUGAAUUUAAAAAAAAAAAAAACUAUUCGUACACGUGGUCAAUGAGAGAUGAAAAAAUUCAUUUUAUGAAAUGUGAGGGACGAAACAAUUUAUUUUGUGAAAUGUAAGGAACUAUAGAUGGAUUAUGUAAAUUUGUUUUGACAAUUUUGUCUCUAAAAAAUGAUCAUAUGCAAGGCAGGCAUAUGAUGAAUUCCGACUAAAAACUAGUUAGAAACCUAGAUAAGGACCAAAUUUGACAAAAGUGAAUUUGUAAGGGACAUAAAAGUACACUUUUAAAAAUAAGGGACGAAAAAAGUCAUUUUACAAAUUAUGAGGGACGUUUUGAACGAUUUUUCUAAAUUUAUAUUCAUGUACUAACAUUCAUAAAUUUUCUGAUUGACUUCUUUUAGCUGACUGAUUUCUCCUGAUAGACUAAAAUCUUUGGGCCAAACAAAAAUAUGAAAAGUACAACCGUUUUCAGAAAGAAAUAGGUAAUGAAUGUCAAUAUCUUUUUAGUGUUGGCAAGUAAUUUCCUUCUUCCUUCAAUUCUUAAGAGUAAUUUAUCAACUUCCAUUGAGUGGGCCUGCUGGAACAUGCUCAUCUAACCUAACAAGUGGAUACUUUGUGGCAAAGUACCUCAAUUAGGUGAAACCAUGUUGAAGAACUUCAUGAGAAACAUUUAUCAUUGAUCUCCCACCUUCAUUAGUCUUCUAAAAUGUUACAUAUUUGAAGGGGGUUUCUCAAUAAUUAUAAAUUAUUUUUAGGUUUGCUAGUCUUUCUUAGCUAAAACAAAACAGAUAGAAUGCUACAAUAACAAAACCUGUUUAUUGAUCAUUCAAACUGCAAAUUUUUGGAUUGUGACUAUUUAUCUUAAAGUAGGCAUGUCAAAAUAAUUAAGUUAGCUAAGAACCAAGAUGGUACUUAGGGUUCGUUAUUUUACUAAAACAAAUUCAACACUGAGCCUGGUACCUAGAAUGACUAACUGUUAGCAUAGUUGUACCAUGAGUCUCUCUUGUUCUUGAGUGGAAAAGUAUGACCUAUUGUCCAAUUUACAAAGGCCUUGCAAGAUCUGGCAGGAACCUUUGAACAAGGAUGUAGAAAUUCUUGCAUCUACAAUUGCAGCACCAAAACUUUGAACUUUUGCCAUCCAAAUGAAUGAUUGACACUGCAAUCAGAUGCUUCGUUUAUGUCGUCCAAACGAUCACCAAUGCUGUCUACAAUGUCUAACUUCUUUCCAUCAAAUCUUCCCACCUCUGGAACUAAAGUAUCAGCACGUCUAGUUUUCUUCAAGCAAGUCUUGUAUCUUGAUAGCUCUCUAGUACUAGCUGCCAUGCUCCCCUCUAAUUCUUCUCCAUCCACAUUACUUUCUACAAGCCUGGCACAAGCCACUCUGUUUUCAGCAUGCUACAAGGAGAAAAGGUUCAGUGUUUGAUUUAUUUUGUUAAACACUUCUAGAAAAUGGAUUUAAAAAAAGACAUUGAAAUCGGCCAAUAGACCUGCAAUCAACAUUUUUUACCUUCUGCAUUCUGAGCAAUAUAUGGCAUUCUGGUGGGAAAAACCAAAUAACUACCUUCCAUCUUCAAAAUCUGGCUGAUAAGUGAAAAUAACUUCUCCAUCUUGCCAUUCUCAUAAGAACAACACGGGAACCUUGGUGCCUAAACAAAUUCUGGCAAAAAAAAAUCACAAUAUUACACCGCAGUGCUACUUCAAUUAUGACACCAAAUAGAAACAUGACCCACAGAAAAGUUUGGUCUGGUAACUAGUGCAACAAUUCAUCACUCAAAAUCCUAAAGAGUACAAAUUAAGCUAAAUUCCAUUGGUUAAGCCACAAAGAACACAUACUAGUGCAAAUGCCACCCUACAUUUAGGCACAAUUACAUGACUCAAACAUACUUGCAAACUUGGACCAAUUUUCUUGUACUUCUAGUAAGUUGGGUGGAGACAUUUCCUCCUCAUCUUUCUUCAAAAACGAUUGGAAACCAUAGCCUGAUGUUGCAGUUGGAGAAUAUGAAAAGUGCAAUAAGAUGCUUUAGAGGUUCCCGGCUGACUAAAAAAUGUAGAUAAAAUAUAUACUCUCUCAUACACACACAAAAAUUUAGAUUUCAUAUUCAUUUUAUCAAAAUUAUACAGUAAUAUUUAAAAAUUAAUUCCAUCUAAAGUUUAAAAAGAUAUUGGUAUUAAAUUUUAUAAUGCCAACCUUGAGGAGCAUGAUCUGAUUAAUAAUUACAAAGUAACAAAUACAUAACAUUCCAGUGGUGUAUCAUGCUAGGCUUUGCUUAACAUUGUACUGAUACUAGAAGAGCAACACCUAAUUCCAGGUCGGCUAAAGUCAUAUCUUGGUCCAGUGGAUUGAUAAAAUACAAUUAAACGAGACAGAAUCAGUAUACAAGUAUAUCUUUCUUUUCACUUUUUCUAGAUAUGAAUACCCCUUCCUUGAGAAACAAUAAAUUAAUAAAGAUAUGAACAAAAAAUAAUGAUAAAAAAAAAAGAAUAAAUAAAUAAAACAUAUAUUUCUCUGUUAAUUAAUUAAAACAGACAUUUUACUUGCCGGUGCUGAUAGAGAUGACACUUGUUGAAGUUCCAGACUUUGCUGCAUUGAUAGAACUCGCAAAACGUCUGCAUGCUAAGUACGACCCGCAGCGCCACAGUGGAAACCACGGCCAGACAUUUCCAUGAAGCAUACAAGUCCUCCUCCUACCGUCUAACCGUCAUGACCAAAAGUUUCUUGCUGUAGAAGUUGUUAACUUUGUCAAUGGCAACCUCAAUGUUGGAGUUCUGAUCUGAGCCGGCGUAACAUCUCUUUAUACCAUUGAAUUGAUCAGCAAUUUCAUCAUCCAUGAGAGCACCCUUGAUCACCCCAUUUUGCUUCAGCAGCUUCACGUCUUCUGCAGUGUCUACAAUCCCAUUCAAGGGUUGAUUUACACAUAGCAGCCUCGUAAUAUAUUUUAUGAGAGAGUAUAAAAUCUAAAUAAUAUGCUACUUUAUUGGUUUCAAUGUUGUUUGGAACUGUCAGUGUCAGAAAAAAUUAGUGAAUUUCGUGGACAAAUAGUCAUAUAUAGUAGUGAAUUUUACCAUACUUUUUGAUGGUUCAGAAAAGCAGAUGAAAUUCACAAUUUUUAUUGUCUUUCAAUUUGCUCGUAACACUACUUUGUUAAGUUAAUGACAAGAAUUAGUUUAUAAAUUGAAAGAGAAAGUAAUCCUCACCAGAAGAAGCAAAGAAACAGAUAAUUGUUACAUAGAAAAAGAGUGAGGGACAAAUACGGAUAGAAUAAGAUGGUGAAGAACAGCGAUAUCCAAUAAUGAGAAGCUAUUAAUCAAAAUUUUGCAGUGAAAUCUUACCCGAUGGCUCGGAAAGAUGACUUUUAAUCACUUUUACGCUCCGGAAUAUUAGAGAUCUUGGGCCACUCGGAGCCGCUUUGAGGAGUGCAUCUUUCGGUUAAUAGAGGACAAUACCAAAUUUCCAGACAUCUUAAUUUGAGGCGUUCCAUGGCAUCUACGGAGGGUAAAUAUUCAAGCUUUGGGCAAUUGAAUAGGAUUAGCUCUUCAAGAGAUGCAAGGUUCCCAAGCCAAUCUGAUAAGGCUUCGAUUGCUCCGAAGCCACUUAGAGAUAGUGAUGUGAUGGUAGUCAAGUCUUGAAGCUGAUGUGGCAGAGAUUUCGUGUCAGGCAUCCAUGCAAAGACACGUGUCGGAGUGAUGAUGAAGAUGCUAAUCCAGCCCAAUCAAAUUCGAUUACUGAGUAAUCUGAGAAGGGACCAAUCUCCACUUUCCUUAAGCUCGUAAGAUAGCCAAAUCCACUAGGCAUCUCAGCAAUCAAGUUGGGACACCUCCGUAACGAGAAGCUCUCGAGAGAAGGGGUUCGUCGCAAAUCAAGGGGAAAGGAGACCAGACUGCGGCAAUAGGACAACUUCAGCUCUCGGAGAGACGUACACGACUCGAACAUCUCCACUGGUAAUCUUGUUAAUUCAUGGCACCCAUCGACAGUAAAUUCCUCAAGAGACUUAAGGAGGCCUUUCUGUCCAAUAUUUGGAUAUCCAAAUGAAUUAAUUCUCGGGCAACCCCGUAUCUCCAAGUGCUCUAAAGCUUGAAAUUGAUAAAGAUCUUCUGGCAACUCCCGUAAAUUCUGACAAUGAUAGACUACCAAUCUCUUAAGACAAGCGGCGCAACUCAUUCCUCUUAAUGUUGUUAUAUUAUCGGCAUGCCUCAAUUCUACACUCUGAAGAGUUGGAAAAAGACAGAGUUGCUCAAGCAUGUCAGUGGGUAGACUGUCACAGCUAUCAAUACUCAAGCUGCUCUCUGGUCGUCUCACUAAUUUUAGAGACUCUAUGGGUUGACUACGACCACCACUUAAUUCAAGGGACGAGAGAUUGGCUAUAUUGCUCAAAACAUUUUCUGCCAGCAAAACAUGGCAAUUCUCUUUGAUUUUCAAUACAUCAAGACUUGGGAAACGACUUGGAGUUGGAAUGGUGAUCAGCUGGGAGCAACGCCAAAUAGACAACUUUUCAAGCACGGGAAACACAUCUAUCACAUGUACUUCACCUGCGGUUGACAUCAUCUCGGGUGCGUCCUUCCACUCUUCCAAAUAUUCCAUUCUUUCGAGAGAGAGAAUUUUAAGGGCUGGAAAGAAUGUUUGUCUGCUAAUAGUGAUUGAACCUCCUGAUCCGCAGUCCUCCUCAGCACUUGUACUGUAGAAUGAAAGCCCAAUGCUUCUUAUGUUUUCCAAUCCAGUCAGAUAUAGAUGUUGGAGGGAUGACAGCUGUCCUAGGGUGGGGAGUUCUCUGCAUCUUGUGCAAUUCGCCACACGCAACUCCACCAGUGAUGUCAAAUUCAUGAACCAUUGUGGAAACUGAUCACCCUUAAAAUACCGGAUAUGCAACUCUUUUAAAUUUGGGUGAGGUUGGAGGCCUUCCAACACAUCUUCAUCACAAUUAUCACUUUCUCGAUCCCUAUUGCCCCACUCAAAUACCAACCGAUACAGAUUUGGCUUUUUAGAUAGGUUCGCCAGUUCAGCAUCAUCUUUGCCAUUUACUAAUUCAAGAUUUCUGAUCUCCAAGGAGCCUGUAAGAUCUUUCAAGGUCCCAAGCUCCUGGAUGCCACGACCUUCCUCUUGACGACCAAUGUUAAAGAAUUCUAACGUUUGAAGACAAGUCCAUCGUCCAAUCCCGGAUGGCAUUUGGAUUUCGCGUCCUGUAUCAUCAUCAUCAUCAUCAUCAUCGCGUCCUGUAUCAUCAUCAUAGUGAAGAUGUCUCAUGCUAAUCAAAUUGCUCAUCUCCUUUGGAAAACCGUCUACAAGCAUGCCAAUUCUCAGUGUUUGCAAACAGUAAAGUUUGCAAAGAGAUUCUGGCAAAGUUCUGAUACUAGACUCUGAAAUGUCGAGUAAGUGUAAAUGUAUUAGUUUGCCAAUGGAGGUCGGCAACUCUUCGACAUCUGCUCCAAACAAUUUUAGGACAUGCAAGUAUUUGAACUUUGAUACCAUAUCAUCAGCUAUGCCACCCUCCAGAAAUAAUGUGCGAAGCGAUGCUGAUGCUUUUUCAUUGAUUCUUUCGGGUGAGUAUACCGCAAGGUAACGGUCCUGAUUGCUGCUGUUAUGAUUCAAAAUUGAUUUUGCAAAAUCGUGCACAAGAUCAUGCAUUUUAUACCAUGUUCUCCUCUCCUCUUUUACUUCUUCCAAUAAGGAAGUUUGCAGCAAAGUUCUCAGAUACUCAUAUCCUAUUCCCUCCAUCAUUCUUUCAUUUUGGGGAUCCGGUUGAAGAAAGCCUUCAGCCAUCCAAAGCUCAACUAGUAGAUCUUGUUCCAAUUCAGUAUCUUGAUGAAAAAUUGAGCAAUAUGCAAAACAUUUCUUAACCGGUGCAGGUGAGAGAUGAUCAAAACUCACCUUAAUUAUUUGCUUGAUCCCACCCUGAUCUCCAUUCAAGAGACUCUCCUCCAAAAUAGAUAGCCAAUCCUCUUUUCUCUUUUUAGAUAACAAACCUCCGAUUAACGUUGCUGCCAGAGGCAGACCGUCACAUCUUCUUACAACUUGCUCCUCAUGUCUUCCAAUUCUUUUGGCACUUUUUCCCCUACAGUUGCCCAAUUUUUCACGAUAGACCAGCAGUCAUCAUCGUAUAGCUUUCUUAGGUCAUGACGAGUAAAAUUGAUCCGCCGAUGUCUAGACAGAACAAUUGGCACUUGUUGGAGACGAGAAGUAACAAGACAGCAGCUCCCUUUCUUCGGUUUGAGUGCCUCCAAAGUGGUGAAAAAGUCAUUCAACAAUCCUUCUUGAUGAUUCCACAAAUCGUCAAGAACAAGCAAAUAUCUUUUUUCCUUAAGUUCAGUUUCAAUUCCUUCAACUAUUACCUCCCUACCAUCCACUUCAGCCUUUUUUCUUGUUGAUGAUUCUAGAAUCAUUUUGAAGAGCUCCAUGAUUUCAACUUCUUUAGCCACACAAACCCAAAUUUUUUUGUCAAAAUGAUUAUCAAACUGUGAAUUGUUGUAAACGGCUUUAGCUAGAGUUGUUUUUCCUAAUCCUGGCUUGCCAGUUAUGGAAACAACUGAAAUACUGACACUUUCAGAUUCGGUCAACAACUUCUUAACUAUUUUUGAUUCAUCCUCGUCUCUUCCUAGGACAUCACUUCGAACAAUCUUCGAGUCAGUCUGUCUGCUUGUUGUGGCUCCAGUAACAAUAGUAGCGAAUGCUUCCGGCCGCUUGUAGGCCAGUCCCAAACCUUCUGCAUCCCGAUGGAUCCUUUCAAGGUUCGCGUUGACCCCCCUGAUCAUUGAACCCAACCUCCAACGAAAACCAAUUUUAUUAAAGAAUGAAAAGCAGAAGAAUACCUUCAUUUUCGUGAGUUGAUUUUGAUACUUCACCUUCCGACGAAGAUUUUCAUAGUUGAGCUCGUCCAGCACAUUGUCAGCUUUGAAAACCUCAUCUUCCAGCUGCUCGACCCAAUUUUGCACCCCUGGUCUACGCAUGUCCUUGUCGGCACCGGCCAAGAAGCCUCGGAUCAUUGCAGCAGAUUUGUCGAGUCUCUCCAGCUCCUCUGGGAAUUCACGAUGAUCAGCGGCAAGAGAAACAACCGCCUGCAAUGCAACCUGAAUAGUAGCACUAACAGGAGCAUCAGCCAUUUUUUCUCGCUUGGGAUUGGAAUUAGGAUGAAAGUGUUCUGCAAUGGUGAUGGGGGGAUGCUUUCUGCAAUGGGACAAGGAAGGAUAUGGUUCAACUUCAGCAGCUAAGAGCAAAGUCAGCGGAGGCUAAAACUUGGGGGAAUGAAAUUUGCAACUCAACUUCCAAAUUUCUCCACUGCACGCUCUAUCAUCACUCCUGACAGGUGUCCGUGAUUUACGGAUCACAGCUCUAGCAGCUGCACGUUCUCUCAAGAGUCAUAAGAGUAAUAUUAAGGCUUUGGAAAGCACGGCUCUAGCAGACAUGUCCGUGAUUUACGGAUCACAUCUGCAUAUGACCGUGUUCCUGAUUACAGUUAUUUUUUUUAAAAGCAGGUCAAGAAGUUGAUUUGCUUAGCUUCACAGAGGUAGAAACAGAGUUGUCUCCUUCACGAAGGCACGUAAGAGAUUAAGAACCAGAAGCAGAGUCGUCAGCUUCGCAUGAAAGCACUUCACAAGAGAUGGAAGCAGAUUUUUUAGCUUCACGUUGAGGCACAUCAGUACAGUUAUCGAGUACAGAAGAGUUUUGCUGGUGAGCUUCCCAUAAAGUAUCAACCUCUGACUGAUGAUCAAGUGGCGAUGAUACAGGUUUUGGUUAAGGAUUCAGUGAAGCCAGGUCGAUCAAGCGCUUUUGUGUUUGAAUGAAACUAGAAAAAAGAAGGGGUCCCCUGUUUUGCAUUUUGAAGUUUAAAGCAUUAGGCAAUGGCAUCAAUUCAACUAGCACAUGAAUGCAAGCGAGCAGCACAAUAACCACGAAAUCAUGAGCACAAUGCUCUUCAAGCUUAAUCAGAAAAACAUUCGACUAAUUCCUGAGUACGAAAUCAUUGAAAAACAGAUGAAAAUUUUGGUAGUUGAACAUUAAGGAAGGCGAAAAGCACGACUUUUACAACUCAAAACACAACUUAAUUGGUGAGAACCUUUUAGCAACUGUUAAACCAUUUAGCAUAUGUAGCUAGAGACCUUGCAUAUGUGAGCCAACCUGCAACUUGACUCACAUUUCUUAUUCGCUAAAACAGCAGGCUCUGUGAUUCCUCCUUAUCACAAUGCAGUAAAGAGAGCAGGUGCUAAUAUAAAAUUGGCGUAACUUCUAACUCAUCAUCUUAUAGUUUCUCUCUUAUCGGUUUUAUUUUUACUAAGAUGUCAUACUUUUUUAUGUUAAAAUGUCUCAAAAUCAUUUUAUUAAACUCAAAUUUACUUUUGAUCUCUUUUUUUACAAUGUAAUUUUCACGUUUAUCAAUAUUUGGCACUAAAUUCAAAUUUAAAAUUUGAAUUUCGAGAACAAGUUUAGAAAUGAAUCCACUAACAUCACCGUCAAGUUAUUUACUAUUCUUAAAAAAAAAAAAUUUGAGUCUCGAAAUGCAAAUAAUAAUUGGAGCGGAGGGAGUAACAUUAUAAUUUCCAUCAGUUUUCCAUGUAUACUCAAAUAUAAUGAUGAUUUCUUAAUAGAAUUUUGGUACUUUGUAUUGCAUUUUUUUUAUUUUAAAAUUAAAACACAUAUUGCUUUUUUUUUCCAUUAAAAACUUUUGAAAGGUUUUUUCACUUUCAUAAUAGAUUAGUGCAAAUCAUCACUGAUUAUUUUCCCCCCACAAACUCAAUAGUGCAAAAUAGUCCUAUUGAGGCAAAAAGGAUUAAUCAGUAGAGGGAAAAUAUUUGUACAAACGAACAAUUGCUAACUGCUAAUGAUAUAAAUACACACCAAUUAAACAUGGUAAGUAACAUGGACUUGAGUCAAUUAAAAUACUCCCUUCCUUCCGAAAUUUUUGCCGCAUUUCAGGAUCUCUGCAUUUAUAUUUUCAAUAAUGCAAGAAUCUUAAAUGAUUUGGGCUUAUGUUCCAGUAACACCCCUGCUUGGAGUUUCCAGGUGCUCAUGCGUUUUUGAAUGAUAAAAGAAUCACAACUUGUGACAAAUUGAAACUGUUUUUGGCUCCUUGAAAUCAAAUUGAAAUAAAGUAAAGGGUCAAUUAGCACUAAUCUCCAAUUUUAUUAGGGAUAAGUUGCACUUUGCCCACUUGAGUUAUUUUAUCAUCACUUAAAAAAAACACCUCUUCUUUGAAGACUAGCUAUUUCGUUUCUUGGUUCAAAAUAGAGAUGCACAAUGAUAGUCUCCUUAGGGCCUCAAAAAUCAAGCUUGUGAUCUCAAGUUAAUCGAACUUUUAAUUUUUGAAGUAGAUAAUAAUCAUUGAAUUAUUGAAACUUCUACUCCCUCUCUCCAUUGUUAAUGUUGUUUGUGUAGUCAUUAAUUGGCUCCAAAUUAUUUGGUUGCAUCACAAACAUAAUUUCCAACACUAUUUUAUCUUUUCAAUUACCUUUUUAUCUCACACACAUCACAUCACAAAAAUUACUACAGUAAUUAUUUUAAAUAAUAUUUUAAAUAAUUUCCUAUCCAAACACACUAGUUAUGUUUUUUACAUUUUUGCUGUCCCAAAAUAAGAGCUUCAUAACAAAAGUCAAACAAAUUUCAAUGCUGAUUUCCUUUUACGCCCUUCACUAAUAAUGAUCAGAUUCCAUCAAUUAACAAUAAACAAUUCCAUAUGGCCAACCAUAACACAUGCACAGUUUCAGAAUGCCUAUGACCUUGUAUUUAUUUGGCUGGUCUCCAUAUUCAAACGUGGAUAAGACCGGAAGAAUCUAAAAAUUGCAGCUCACAGUUUUACUGCAUAAAAAGUGCUACUCGCAAAAUGUCCCAAUUUUUCAGACAAGAGGAGUAUUAAUUUACUUUGUUUAAUUUGUAAAUAUCAUUAAGAAUUGAGGCCUUAGUCUUUACAUAAUCAAGAAUGCGGGAUUAAUAUGUCAUCCCCAUUCUACAUCCUAGUAUGUUUAAAAGAAAUUGUAAUGAAUGAACGUUAGUUUAGAAUAACUUAAAUAAUGCAAAUGAGAAUGGCUGUCAAGUUCGACACCUCCUACGUACAAUUUUCUUUUAAAAAAAAAAGAAUAAUCUUUUGGGAGGAGAGGAAGGAGUUGGGCGGUAUGGGAAGAGAAAAUGUAAGUGAGAAGUCCUGAGUUCGAGAUCUUCCACUUAUACUAAAAAAAAACUUGAACAAUGCAUUUUUUUUAAUCCUAUCACAAAAGGAGGCAUUAAUAAAAAUUCCCUAUUUUUGUUAAAUUGUUGGACUAAGGAAGCUGAGAAAGAGUCACUUGAAUGUAUUUAAGAGGUCUCAAUUAUUAUUAGGUCUAAUUGCUUGAGACUAUUUGUGGCGAAGAUUAACCUUGACAUUCAUUACAACCCAAGUUCAUGCUGAUAUUGUACAUUCAUUGUGUCAGAGGUGUACAUGAUUUACCCCAUGCAUGACCCACAAUCAGUGCUGUGGUAGGAAAUGGUUUCCUGGCAAAUUUGAGUAAUUAAAUUUUGUAUGCCAAAGUCAAUUCAUUGCAAAUUCAGUAAAUGCUUCUAGUAUAUAAAUCAUAUGUUACCACAAGAACUUAGGCACAUGUGAGUUGUUAUGGGGCACUAGGAAUGUGGACUGCUGCAUGUUGAGACCUUGCAACCUACAUUUCACCAAAAGGCAACCCAAGCAGCAUCGUCCAAAUACACAAUUUCCAAAACACAAAAUCACUAGUUAUAUCAUCAUCAUCAUCAGCAGCAGCAGCAGCAGCCAUAUUUUUCUUGCUUAAAAUUGGAAUUAAGAUUAAGUUUUCUGAGAUCAGAGAAGGGAGGGAGGUUUUAGCAGCAAAUAAGUAAAAUCUGUGUGGAAGCCGAGAAGAAAGAAUAAAAAUUGGGUCAUGAAACGAGUUUGGUCAAUUGUGGCGGCCUUUAGUUGUUUAAAAAUUCCAUUAUUUUCGUUGUAGGAUUUAAAAAGACAAACGAAAGUGAUUUCAAAUUAUAUCAGUAGGUAGUGCUUGUUUUAAGUAUUGGGGGUCUGUUUGAUAACAUAAAAAAAGUGCUAAAUUUGAAUUUUUUCAAACAUUCAGAUGUUUUGAGUGUUUGAGAAAUGAAAAUCUAUUUGCUGAACUUGUUAAGCAGUGCUGAACCUGUGUGUAUUUUUUUCAGCACAAGAAUCCUAACUGAAUGCUUAAUUCUGAUAAGAAUCAAUAAAAUUACUUCAACUACCUUAUCUUAUCUGCCAAAUCUACUCUUAUUUGUUAAUUAUGUUCAAAAUUCUUAUUUAAUUAAAUAACGUAAUAUUCUCUAUCUAACGAUUUUUAGUUUCUCUUUUCUCCCUUUUUAAUGACUUUCACAUCUUCUCCAUACUUCUCAUAUAGUAUAUUUCAUCUUUUAUAUUAAUUUGAUUUAAAAAUAAAUAUUGUCAUUUUCGUACCUUACAAUUUUAAACUAAUUAAAUCAUAGAUUCUAUUUCUUUUUUGAAUGAAAGGAUAUAAGGGCAAAAUUGUCAAAUUAAACUUAUUAAGCAUUCAGCUAUAAAUAUUUAUCAACCAGUAUAAAUAGGUUUAACAUUAAAAUUCAGACGUUCAUAUAUUUUUUUCAGUGCUUAAAAUUCAGCAAAUUAAUUGUUUCAAUAUUCAGAUUUCAGAAUUCAGACUUCAAAAUUCAGAUUCAGUUUUAUCGAACGGAAGUGUGAUUAAUCUCUCUAGUUUAAUUUAAUCAUCAUUCACAUCAAGUCAUGAUCACUUAUUGGUGCUUUUGGGUUGAUUGGACAUACUAAUUCUCUUUUCUGUUUUCUUAUAUUAAUCUGUUAUUUACCCAACAAAGAAUCAUCUAGAUGAGUAAUUAAAUGGAACAAUUUUGUUUGCUUCUAACAAUUUUAGUCAAACAGAUAAACUUUCUGAGAUCAAUUUUAGUCAAAGAAAUAAACUUUCUGAGAUCAAUUCUUACUUAUCCUUGAAUAUCAACAUCUAAUAGCUUGCUUGAGAUGACUUCCCAAAUUUAAUGUAGUGCUUAUUGGCACAUUUAACUGCCUCAAAUUGUACAAGUGUAGUUCUUGGAAGUCUUCUUAACAGAAUAUUUUUCUAACUAAUACACCAAGUGGCUAAGGAAAUGUGGAGCUAAUUUUGGUCAUCCUGCUACUUUGUCUGGUUCCCAUGUGUGAGUGCUGGUUUUGGUAUGAGGCUUUUUUGUAUGUAAACCAAAUUUCUUCCAUGAAAAUUUUAUAUAAAUUUUUUGUUGUUACAAACAAAAUCUAUACAAAAUUUAUUCAGUUCAAGUGUCUCCUAAUUGCACACAUAUUGGGUGUUAUUGUGUCCUUAACAUUAGUAAAUUUCUGUUGCUUAUCAAAAAAUAAAAAGGUUUCGGAGCUUGAGGUACUUAUUUAAGAACAGUUUGGCGGGCAUACUAAAAAAUAAAUGGUUCUGUAUGAAAUUUGGUUGUUUGGCGGCAUACUCGUUUUUAUGCUCAACUCAUUUACGUUCAUAUUUACCAUGUGAUUUUGGUGUUUCAACGGAUUUUGGUGCCAUUAAGUUUUCUGGGCUCGUCCAAGACUUUAAUUUGUGGGUUUUUAAGGUUUUGGCCAAUACUUGAGGGUUCUUUCAAUUUCAUUAAGAAAGUUGGGAAUUUUACUUGAUAUGGUGAAAUUGUGCUCAAAACCUAAUUAUUACCAUAUUACGAGGACUUUGACAAUCAUUAUUUUUCCUAGUUAUUUUUUUGAGGAUUGCAAGGACUUAAUUUGGAAAAUGUCAUUGAAUUGUAAUAGAACUACAAUCUACCGUUAGAGAGGGAGGAAUUUCACAAGCCAACCUGUACUUUUUUUUUUUCUCCUUUUGAGGGAACAACCUGUAGUUAAAUAAGGUGUGAAAAAAGGAACCUUUUUUUUCCUUGAAAUUGAAUGGACUAAGUACAGUUUACCAACUAGUGUUUCGUGGAAUUUCUACUUUGCUUAUCAUCCCUGUGUUUCGGACCAAUACCUGAUGGAGUCUACACAGUUGGAUAAGGAUUGAGUUUACAUGGGGCUCAGAGUUUCCAUGUAUGCUUAUCUUGUAUACCAUUUAUUUGCUUGUAAUUCAAUAGGUUAUAAUAUUCAUCAGGAUACCAAAAAACUGCAGAACUGAGGAGCUAUAGGCCUUCAUGGCAAUUAUGUGCUUUGUUUCACACAAUUUCAAUCCCCUCCUUCGUUAAGCAGAAGUGUUAAUUGGCAAAGGCUGAAUUGGCUGGUUUUCAUUUUGCUCUAUGGGCUCUAUUAACUACUGGAGCCAGCAGAGAGAAGAAAAAGAAAAUAUAUGGGGACAGUGUGUUUGAAUGUAAAGAUUGGAGGUGCACAGUUGAAAAGUGAAAUGACUCAAUUUUGAAUUGUCUAUUACUCAGUAGGAGAAGCAUAACUCAAGUGUUGCCUGAGACAAAUGUGUAUUAUCCUUACUUUCUUUUGUACUGAAUGUCUUUCUUUGUUCCGUAGGUGCCAUGGUUCAAAGACUCGGCCGAGUCGUCACUGGAACGAGGCUUCUCGAUCCGAUAUCUGGAUGAGAUGACUCCGAAAUAAUGAAUUAUCGAGAACUCGGCCGAGACGUCUCCGAGAUGGAUAGAAACUGCCGAGUUGCCUCGAGUAGCUCCGAAUCAUCCCAAGUCAGCUCGAAUUUUUAUUACUUUUGUUAAUUUUUUAAUUAUAUUUUUUUAUAAUUUUUAGAAUAUUAAAUAUUUCAAAAAUUUGCGUCUCGCCGAAACUGCGACCGAUAUGCGAAACCGAUGUGGAACGAUUUGGGCCGCGACCGUGACCGUGACCAUGACUUUGAACCAUGUCAUGGCGGGGAUAUUCUUUCUUGAUAUAACUUUUUCUUGUGAUGAUCCAUUCAAACCACCAUAGGUAUGCUGAUAGCUACAGGAAAUACUAAAGAUCACUAAUUCCUUUUUCAUUCUAAUUUCAUUUUCACUACAAGCUAGAAGUAAGUGUUUCUGCAUAUGAUGGCUGAGUUAAAUGUCUCUUAAAAUCAUCUGAUUUACCAAGGGAUUGUUUUAGCUCUUGUAUACGUGGUUCGAAGACUUGGCCGAGACCAAGAUGACUCGGUCAAAUCGUCACCGUCGGCCCUCGCCGAUACGAUACCGUGACGAAACGAUACCGAGAUACUCAACUCGCCUAGACGUCACCGUGAAGGGUUGAAACGGCCGAAUCACACCGAAUCACUCCGAGUCAUCCCGAAUCAACUCAAAUUUUUAUUAUUUUUACUAAAUUUUAAUUAUUUUUGUUUAUCAUAUUUUUUUACAAUUUUUAGAAUAUUAAAUAUUUCAAAAAUUCGCGUCUCGCCGAGACCGCAACCGAUAUGCCGAAACCGAUGUGAAACGGUCCAGGCCGCGACUGCAACGGCGACCGCGACUUUGAACCAUGCUUGUAUACAAUCAGCAGUCCAAGAAUGGAUUAAAACGCCACUCUAUGCUUCUUUUCACCUUCAUGCUUCAGAUUGUUUACAUGAAAUGUUGGCCUCUACGAAACUGUAGUCUUGUCAUGAUUUCGUUUAUUGAUAGUGUCCAGCAAUAAAUGUUAUCUCAGAAUGAGGACAGUUUGUUCAAGUUGUUUCAUAUCUAUAUCCAAUAAUUCUGACACCUGUAAGUAAAUCUGUCCGCUUUGCCCAAGUUUAUCUGUGAGGUUCUAUGUGUAAAGUUUCAUCUAAAACUACAAACAGUGUUCAAAUGUUAUACGUUGGUUCUUGCAGAUAAAUCCCUUGUUCCCAGUAUUGCCCACUUGUAAUCGGCAGACAGAGCAAAGCAUGAUAAACUGCCUACAGAGUAACGCGAUUCGCAAGGUGAAAUGCAAUCCAGUGGAUGAAUAAUCAUUAAGCCCAUAAUAUUCAGUCUUGAGGAUUACAUAUUACUUUCUGCAGUUGGGAGAAUAGGGCUCCAAGCUUUGCCUAUAGAACCAGAAGCUGCCUUCUUGCUUACAUGGUUACCUGGUUCUGAAUUUCGAUCAAUAGUUCAAUACAACUAGGUCUCGGGUUGGUUAUAGUUGGAUGUGCAGCCAAUCCAUAGCUCUUAUGUAACAACUACCCAGCAAGUUCUUGGUUCUUCCAAUAUUAGUUUGUCUACGAGUGUGGCUAAUGAGUAUGUAUAUAAGUAGCAGCAUCUAGCUGUGAUUAUUCUUUUCAAUGGUCGAUUAAAGCAUGAUCUUAUUACCAAUUUCCUACUCUGUAUUUUUAUCAAUGGGAUGUAUGCUUAUGAAAAUUCUUGAAGGUCUUGGGAACAAAUUCUAAUUCUGGGUUUUGCUUGAUGGUUCUUAUUCAAAUUCCCAGCUCCUGAAGAUAGGCGAAAUUGGAUAUCAGUCGAUUGCUGUAAUUUUCCCUCCGUUGACAUACCUUGGCUUCCAAUGCUUAUACAAGAAUUUGACCUCCUGUUAAUUUGUGCAUUCUUUCACAAGCCUAGGCAACAGCCAUUUGGGCUAUUGCCUACCACCAAAGAAUUUAAAUCUUAGUGGAUGGAAGGUUAAAUGUUCAAAUUUUAUCACAAUACGUGGUUUCUUCAAAUUCAUACGAGUGCACUCUGAUUCGAUGGUGGUUCAGUCCCCGUCGACUCCUCUAUAAGUCCAGUUGGGCCUUCCCUUGAUUAGGUUAGAAUAAGAGUAGAGUAGAUAAAUGAUAAAUAAAAAAAAAAUACAGUAAUAUCAAUUUUACCUAGACAAGAAAUUUGUUGAUUACCUUUGAAUAAUAUCACUGCAUCCACAUUAAGUGGUGGUAGAUUAUUUGAAUAUCAGGCAUACCAUCUGAUACAAGAUUUUUACUCACAGCGUGCCAAACCACCAAGCUCCUACGUAGCCAUAUAUUUAUGGGUUUGGUGUGCUAUGCUAGAACUUGUACAUUUGCUAAGUAAAAUGUUACUACGUGAAACUUAUCAAGCAUUGCUUCCAAAUUUGUCCCCAUAGUUAUUCCCAAGCGAAAUAUGAAAAGAUAUUGGUCGAUAAUGUAGUUACAUGUAACUAUUUUUUCAUUUUCUAUUUAUCAAGUGUUUCAUUCUACCUGUCUCAUUCAAUUCAUCAACAAAAGAUCCUAUGUUUAUAUAAAUAUAAAUUGUACGUUGCAAGGGCAUUUUUCUUUUGUUCACUUCACCCUAAUAUACAUUUUUUGUUAGUGAUGAAAAAUGAGCAUUUUGGUAAAGUAAAUAUACAAAAAAAAAAAUCCUUAAAAUAAAUAAUUAAUUUGGAUGGUAAGACAUAAAUUAAUAAAGAUAACAGACAAAUUAGAUGAGAUGGACCUAAUAUGACAUUCAUGACCGUCAAAUAGCUAAUUCGAAAAGGAAAAAAAGAUGUGUGGCCAAAAUAAGACAUUGAGACAAAUUUAGUGGCCACUGAUUAACGCUUUCAUGCUUUUGGUCGGUGCCUUAUCUCUUCAAGCAAGACAUUCCUAAGUCCUAACCCAUAAACAUAACAUACCACAACUGGGAAACAAAUUUAUCUCGCUUUUCUUGAAUUCCAACCGGAUUGGUUUCUUUUCUUUCUUAAAGAAAAGUUGAAUACUAUUAAAUAUUUAAACCAAAUUCAUUCCUGUGGUCCUCGAAUCACUCAAGUAAACAUAAAUCAGAUUACUUUGAUGCGGCUGCAUACCAAAAAAUAAAAUUAGUCUAUCCCGAAAUGGUCUACCACUCUAGUAUUGAUGAUGGGCAAUUUGUUAGAAGUAUUUACCGUUGUUAAUUAAUCAUAUUUGUUUAUGCUACCUAAUUAGUGGAGUUAGUGGAAUAACUAGUGGGAUUAGUGGAAUACCUAGUGGAGUUAGUGGAGUUAGUAGUGGAGUGAGUGGAGUUAUUGGGAUAGUUAGUGGAGUUAGUGGGAUAGUUAGUGGAGUUGGUUAAACUCUAUAAAUAGAGUAAUUUCAUGUUAUAAGUUGGUGAGUUUUACAAAGAAAUAAACAUUUGUCCUUUGCUUCUCUUAUUAUUUGCCUCAAUAUUUGUAUCAGUGGUACCAGAGCUAGGCUAGUGAGUGAAAACAAAAGUGAGUUGUGAGAAUUGUAAAUUACGAUGGCCACCGACAAUUUUGUGCAGCCAGCAAUUCCUCGCUUUGAUGGUCACUAUGAUCAUUGGAGUAUGCUAAUGGAGAACUUCUUGAGAUCCAAGGAGUAUUGGCAGGUUGUCGAAUCUGGAGUAGCAGAGCCAACAGCCGGAGAAAUAUUGUCAGAGGUGCAGAAAAUGGAGUUGGAAGCAUUGAAACUGAAAGAUCUUAAAGCCAAAAAUUAUCUUUUUCAAGCUAUUGAUCGAGCCAUUUUGGAGACAAUUCUUAGCAAAGAUACCUCCAAACAAAUUUGGGACUCCAUGAAGAAAAAGUAUCAAGGAAAUGCAAAGGCGAAGCGGGUGCAGCUUCAAGCUCUUCGGACCGAAUUUGAGACUUUACGCAUGAAGUCAAGCGAAUCAGUCACUGAUUAUUUCGCAAGAACGAUGGCAAUCGCUAACAAGAUGAGGAUCCAUGGAGAAAACUUGAAGGACGUCACCAUUGUCGAGAAGAUUCUUCGAUCAAUGACAACAAAAUUUAAUUUUGUUGUAUGCUGUAUAGAGGAAUCGAAAGAUAUUGAUGCAAUUUCAAUUGAUGAGUUGCAGAGUUCUUUGUUGGUUCAUGAGCAAAAAAUUAACCAGCAAGAGAAAGAGGAGCAAGCACUAGUGGCUUCAGCAGAAAUUCACUCAACAUGGAGAGGAGGCAGAGCAGAGGCAGAGGCAGAGGCAGAGGUAGAGGAAAUAAUGAUCGUGGCAACCAACAACAACAAUACCAGCACCAAGAAAAUCAAUUUCAAGGAAGAAGAAGAGGACGAGGAGGCUAUCCAUUAACAAAUCAAAGGCCAAAGUCAGCAGACAAGUCCAAUGUUGAAUGCUACAAAUGUCAUAGGUAUGGCCAUUAUCAGUCCGAAUGUCGAACUAAUUUGAAUAGACAAAAUGGAGAAAGGACUAAUUUUGCAGAAAAAGAAGAAGAAGUGUCUCUUUUGAUGGUGUGCCACAUGAGUGAAGAAACUCAACAAAACACAUGGUAUUUAGACACCGGUUGCAGCAAUCACAUGUGUGGAGAUAAGAAGGCAUUCUCUGAAUUGGACGAGUCAUUCCGUAGCACUGUCAAGUUUGGUGAUAACUCUACAAUUUCUGUUAUGGGAAAAGGAAGGGUAAUUAUCCAAGCUAAAGAAAAUUCUUCUACCCACACUAUUACUGAUGUUCUUUUUGCUCCAGACUUAAAGACAAAUUUGCUUAGCGUGGGUCAGUUGCUCGAAAAAGGGUACGAGAUUUCAAUCAAAGGUGGUGUAUGUCAGAUUCGAGAUGCAAAGUUGGGCUUAAUUGCUCAAGUUAAGAUGACGGCAAAUCGUAUGUUCCCACUCGAUUUGCAGAACUUGACUCAUUCAUGUUUCUCGACAAAAUCGAAAGAUGUGGGAUGGUUAUGGCAUUUUCGUUAUGGACAUUUGAAUUUUGGUGGACUGAAAACUUUGCAACAGAAAAAUAUGGUAGCUGGUUUACCUCAAAUCACAACUCCUUCAGAAGUUUGUGAAGAAUGUGUUAUUGGCAAACAACAUCGAGAUAGCUUUCCAAAAGGAAAAUCGUGGAGAGCAAAAAAUGUCUUGGAGCUGGUUCACUCUGAUCUAUGCGGACCCAUAAAUCCGUCAUCUAAUGGUGGAAAACGUUAUUUUAUGACGUUUACUGAUGAUUAUAGUCGAAAAACUUGGGUCUAUUUUUUGCAGGAAAAAUCUGAAGCAUUUUCAACGUUCAAAAAUUUCAUGACUCUUGUCGAAAAGGAAGCAGAAAAUCCAUAAAAUUUUUCGCAGUGAUCGUGGUGGAGAGUAUAAUUCACAAGAAUUUAUAAAUUUUUGUGAGGAGCAUGGAAUUCAGAAGCAGCUUACAACCGCUUAUACGCCGCAGCAGAAUGGUGUUUCAGAGAGGAAGAAUCGUACAAUAUUGAACAUGGUGAGGAGCAUUUUGACAAAAAGUGGUGUUCCAAAAAAUUUUUGGCCGAAGCUGUCAACUGGAGCAUUCAUAUAUUGAACAGAAGUCCCACACUUGCUGUUAAAAAUAUGACGCCUGAGGAAGCAUGGAGCGGACGGAAACCAACAGUGGAUCACUUCAAAAUUUUUGGAUGCAUUGCCUAUGCUCAUGUUCCAGAGCAAAAGAGGACAAAACUAGACAACAAAGGGGAGAAAUGCAUUUUUCUUGGUGUUAGUGAUCAGUCAAAAGCUUAUAAGCUUUAUAAUCCUAUCACCAAGAAAAUUGUCAUCAGUCGGGAUGUAAUUUUUGAUGAGGAAAAUUUUUGGCCAUGGAGCAACAAUAUUAUUAAACAACAAAUACCCGCUGAUUUUGAUGGAGUUGAUGAAGAAAACAGGCAGCAGUUGACAGAACAAAUUCCAUCAAAUGGUCCAGAUAAUGUAUCAAAUUCCCAAACAGUAGCAGAAGAUGAAGGACGGCCUCAACGUAUUAGAAAAAGACCUGCAUGGAUGAUUGAUUAUGAGGUAACUGGAAUUGAUCAAUCUGAAGACCCACUUACAUAUUUUGCACUAUUUUCCGAUUGUGAUCCUACAGUUUUUGAAGAAGCUGUCAAAGAUUUGAAGUGGCAGAAGGCAAUGGAUGAAGAAAUUGCAGCUAUUGAACGAAAUAACACUUGGGAGUUAACCAAUCUUCCAGAAGGACAAAAAUCUAUAGGUGUCAAGUGGGUGUACAAGACGAAAUUAAAGGAGAAUGGAGAAGUUGACAAGUACAAGGCACGUCUGGUAGCUAAAGGCUAUAAGCAAGAGUUUGGGGUGGAUUAUGGAGAAGUCUUUGCUCCAGUCGCAAGGCAUGACACGAUUAGGAUGGUGAUAGCAUUGGCAGCUCAAAAUUCAUGGCCUAUCUUCCAAUUGGAUGUGAAAUCAGCAUUUUUACAUGGUGAUUUACAGGAACAGGUAUUUAUUGAUCAACCUCCUGGUUAUGUGAAGGUUGGAAGUGAACAUAAGGUAUACAAACUCAAGAAAGCAUUAUACGGAUUAAAACAAGCCCCGCGUGCUUGGUAUAGUCGUAUAGAUGCUUAUUUUUCUAAGGAGGGAUUUAAGAAAUGUCCAUAUGAGCAUACACUUUUCAUAAAGAUUGGAGAUGGAGGUAAAUUGCUGAUUGUUUGCUUAUAUGUUGAUGAUCUUAUUUUUACUGGGAAUGAUAGUGCCAUGUUUGAGAAAUUCAAGAAAUCUAUGAUGGCUGAAUUUGAUAUGUCUGAUCUUGGAAAGAUGCAUUAUUUUUUGGGUAUUGAAGUGGUGCAAUCUGCUGAUGGAAUUUUUGUCUCUCAAAGAAAAUAUGUGCAAGAAAUUCUGAACAGAUUUCAAAUGUCGAAUUGUAAUUCUGUUAGUACGCCAGUUGAAGUGGGUUUAAAACUCAUCAAAGAACCAGGAGGAAAGAGGGUUGAUAGCACCCUUUACAAGCAAAUUGUGGGAAGUUUGAUGUAUUUGACAGCAACUAGGCCUGAUAUUAUGCAUGCUGUAAGUCUUAUUAGUAGAUACAUGGAAAGUCCAAGGGAGACACAUCUUCUAGCUGCCAAGAGGAUUCUUCGAUACUUGCAGGGAACCAUUGAGUAUGGAUUAUUUUACAAGAAUGGUGAAAAAUCAGAUUUGUUUGGUUUUACUGACAGUGACUAUGCAGGCGAUUCUGAUGAUAGAAAGAGUACGUCUGGGUAUGUGUUCAUGAUGGGUUCAGCAGCUAUUUCAUGGUGUUCAAAAAAGCAACCAAUUGUUACGUUAUCAACAACUGAAGCAGAGUAUGUAGCUGCAACCGCCUGUGCCUGUCAAGCAAUUUGGUUAAGGAAUAUUCUUGAAGAGUUGCAUUUUCAGCAAGAAGGAGCUACUACAAUUUAUUGUGACAACAGUUCUGCCAUCAAGCUCUCUAAAAAUCCAGUUCUACAUGGAAGAACCAAACACAUAGAUGUGAGGUUUCAUUUUCUAAGGGAGCUCACAAGGGAUGAAAUAAUUGAUUUUCUCUACUGCAAAAGUGAAGAUCAGAUUGCUGAUAUAAUGACCAAGCCAUUGAAGUUAUCCACGUUUCAGAAAUUAAGGAAGCUGCUUGGAGUCUGUGCAGUUAAUAAAUCAUAUUAAACUGAAUGUUUGAUAAACUUUCAGUUUAAGGGAGGAAUUGUUAGAAGUAUUUACCGUUGUUAAUUAAUCAUAUUUGUUUAUGCUACCUAAUUAGUGGAGUUAGUGGAAUAACUAGUGGGAUUAGUGGAGUACCUAGUGGAGUUAGUGGAGUUAGUAGUGGAGUGAGUGGAGUUAUUGGGAUAGUUAGUGGAGUUAGUGGGAUAGUUAGUGGAGUUGGUUUAAACUCUAUAAAUAGAGCAAUUUCAUGUUAUAAGUAGGGUGAGUUUUACAAAGAAAUGUUUGGCUCCGUUUGGAUUAGCUGUUUUUGGGGUUGUUUUUUAAAAACAGCACUAUUCAUUUUUUGAAAAACACUCAAUGUUGUUUGGAUUAGUUGUUUUUCAAAAACAGAGUGUUUUUUAAAAACAAGCGUGUAUGGAUUCACCGUUUUUGAAAAACAACAUUUAAUUUUUUUUGGGGCUGUGUUCGAAAUACUUAAUGCCAUUUGCACUUAAACAAUUAUCAAUUUUUUAAUACAUAGACGAGACAUAAGUGUACAAUUUAUUGGGCCUACUAUCUGAACAAAUAGUGACCGGAGAUGUUCUACUGGUGCUGAUAAUAGUACAUCAUAUCGGCUAUUGCUCUCCUACUUUCAUUCCAUUCAGCAAUUCCUGCAGCCGACAUAUCUGGAGCUUGUGCUGCGGGCAUUGGGUUGAAGGGGUUUAUGUUAUCUUCCAAUGCUAUAUCUGCUUCUUCUUCAGCAAAAUAUGCAUCAUUUGGAACAUACUCUCGCAUGAAGUUGUGCAAGGCCAUACAAGCCAGUACAAUAUUAAUUUGAGUAGCCAUCAUGUAAUUCUGCAUAGGGCCCUUAAGUAUUGGAAAUCGUUUCUUCAAGACGCCAAACGUACGUUCUAUAAUGUUUCUUAACGAUGCAUGCCGUUUGUUGAAGAGUGUCCUCACUGCCCGCUCUUGCGCAGUUCCGCGUGCACCUUUAAAUGGAGCCAUAAAUCCUGCCAUAUUCUGGUAAGCCGCGUCCACCGCGUAAUACUUCCCUGGCAUAAUGAAAUUAUAUUUAUAAUUCAUUGAAGACACAAUGAGGAAAGGAAUUAUGUGAUUUAAUCUGGACUAACCUGCUGGUGGCCACGGAAAUGCACAAUUAGGAUCUUGUAUGACUUCUUGUAAGAUUCUAGAAUCAUGUGCGCUACCCUCCCACCCUACCCUGACAUAAGUAAAUCUCAUGUUGUGAUCACACACGGCUAGAACGUUUUGUGAUAAGCUACCAUGCCGGUUCCGGUACCGUUCCCUGUCUUCGGCUGUACACCAGGCCGAAACGUGUGUUCCGUCAAUCGCUCCAACGCAAUCCUAAUAAAAAAAAAUUCUUCCCAUAAGUGGGUCACAGCUGUUAGACAAAAUGAAAUAGUAAUUUGACAUAGUAGCUCAUAACCUUAAACCAGGGCCAAAACAAAGCACUGUUCUGUAUUCUUGGAUGGGUUGUGUGAUAAUCUACCGGUCGGACCAGGUCACGUCCCAAUCGAACGAGAGAUCUAAGGCAGCGGCGUAGAUGGCGGUCCGUUGUCUCGGGAGAAUGUUGGAAUCUGUCGGCAAGCACCCUAUGUCGCUCAUUAUGGCUCAAACACAGCAGGCAUAUAGCAACGGACUCAUGAAUCCCCACCCGUUGUGUCGGGUGGGCCACCCAAUAGCCCCUCUGAACCAACAAGUCACACAAUUGGAGGAAAAGGGGAGCUUCCAUUCGAAGGUUGUCGAAUAUUCUGUCUCGAUGGCCGUUGAUCAGCUCUAUAACAUAUUGAGGACCUGACUGUGCACUAUCUCGAAUUCUUCGGCGCUGGCCCGAGUUGAUGUACGGGUCGAAUAAGGCCAAUCCAGCAAGAAUAAAGGCAGCGAAGGCCAACAUGAGCUCGUCGUCGUCCGAGUCAUCAGAUAAGUUCCCACCAUUCACAUAACCAUCAUACUCCAUUUCGUUUAAUCUGUGCGACUGCGUUGGAUGUGAAUCUGAAAAAAAAAAAAGGAAAACAGAGAUUUCAUUCAAAACCAAUCUUAAUUUGCCAGAGAUUGGGUAGGAAAUAUAAAACUCAACAUAUACAUGGACCAAAAUUGAACAAAAACCUAUUCGCCAACCAAUUUAUAGCCAAGAGGAUAAGUUCUGAAUUUGUAAGACAAGAGGAUUGGUUUGUAAUAGCAAUCGGAUAGGCUAUUCUUGAAAUAUAUAGGCUAUUCGAUUGGUUUGUAAGACAAGAACAUAGGAUAAGUUCUUGAAAUAUAUAGGCACAGAGAUUGGUUUGUAAGACGAGGAUAAGGAUUUGAAAUAUAUAGGCUAUUCGAUUGGUUUGUAAGACAAGAGGAUAAGGAAUCGAGGCUAUUCGCCAACCAAUUUAUAGCCAACAAGUUGAGGGAUCCAGUAGAAGUUUUGCAUCUUACUUCAUAAAAAGAAUCUUACAUCUUCUUCAACCAUUUGGACGUAUUCUUGAAAGAAUUGUUGAAGUAAGACAUAUUCUUGAAAAUAGUUGUUGAAGUAAGUCAUAUUCCCUACCUAAAACUUGCUCUAAAAAUGAUCAUCAUACCUAAAACGAGCUAUUUUCCUUCCAAAAGUUGCUCUUUGAAUGUCCCUUACUUCAAUUACCUUACAUCUUUGUUAAAGUAAGUCAAUUUCUUAAAAUAAGUGUUAUUCUUUAUUCCUUACUUUAUCCGUUAGUAAGGAAUAACUUGGCGUUACUUUAUUCCUUACUUUAGCAGGAAAUUCUCAACACCGAACGUAGGUGUUUUGGGUGGAAGAGCCAUAAAAAUCUGAAUCACUUUAUUCCUUACUUUAGCAGGAAAUUCUCAACACCGAACGUAGGUGUUUUGGGUGGAAGAGCCAUAAAAAUCUGAAUGUAUCACGUCGUUGUCUGUGAAAGAAAACUUUCUUCUGAACCCACCACCAAAUGGUAGCUAAGAUACCCUAAGUCUCGAAUUGAUAAAAGAAAACAUUUAUUAUCGAAUUUGUCAGUUGCUGAAUAAAUAAUUAAAGGCAAUGGUGCUUGGAGUCCGGAAGAGCCAAAAAGAAUCUAAUCCGUUUUCUUCUCUUUCUUCGGCUGUGGCUUCUGAUAUAUCCUGCAUCUGACACAGGAUGGUACCAUUUGUCACCACACAUAUAGCAGAACCCAGAACAACUUCGAGAAAUUAAGGAAAGCAGAACUCGAGUUUUCACCUUAAAAUUCUCAACUAUCUGUGGGACCCUGGCAAAGAAGAAAAUUGCAUGCUCGGAUGCCUGACGUCGGACAAUAAUGCAAAUACAAGCUUCAAAAAGGCAUAAAACUCCAAAUUUAAACUUAGCAACUAUAAGAGCACAAGAAUAGUUAGCCGUGAGAAGCAUAAGCCAAACUUAUGGGAUAUAAAACAUUAAAUCAUUCUACUGACAUUAAUCGCCUCGAAGAGAAUGGGGUCAACCCGACCAGCUAAAAUAGUUGGCGCUAUAGCACAAUAUCUGUGAUGAACAUAGUAAAGGAAGCAAUAUCUCAUAAACAAGUCAUCAAUUAGUCUAAACUGCAAUAGUAAAGGGAAAGUGUCUUCAUGUAGGAUACAGUAAUGCCCUGAUCCAUGUCUUCAUUCCUAGAGGUUGAGAGAAGUAAUAGAUGAUGGCAACAGGGAAAGUGAAAGGGUUAGAGCCACUUAUCUCAUCAUUUAAUUCCAAUAACAUACAUAUAGUGCUCUAUAGAUAUCAGUCACCAAAUCCAGAAAAGACAUGUAACUCAGAAAGACCCUGAUAGAAAACAAGUUUACCCAUACAUUAACUGUGUACUUAGGAAAACACAGUAGACCUGCAGCUCAACCAAAGGCAAAACUGUAGCCAAAAACAAGUUUCAAAUAUUCAACCGACAUUGUAGCCGGCCACUUGCAACCUGUAGUCUGCACCAAGAAAUCACACAUGUAUACAGAAAAGCAAAUUUGGCCUCAUCUAAAGCAUUAUACAAGGCUUAACAUUCAAAAUUUAAUGAUUUGUUAUAUCCAACCUAAUAGAAAAGAACACAAACCAGUUUUAAAUAAAAAAAAAGGCUUGAAUCCGCAAACCAAUUCUUAAACAAAGGCAUCAUGAAUUUAAUUACUCAACAUUCAUCCGCAACACAACAACUCAACAACUCAACAAACCAGUAUUCAUCCGCAAAUUCAAAUAUACAGACCACAACACUCACAAAGGAUAAAGUCCAAGUUCCGGUAGCAAAUGCUACACCUAACAGACCUCAAAUACAAACAAACAUUAGGCAACAACUCAAGUUUCAAAUAAAUGCUCCUGAUGAACAACGAAAGCACCUAAAAGGGGGUGGGGGAGGGGGCUCCUGAGAGUCAGGGGGGAAACAGCCUUUUAGCUUCAUCCAAGUGAUGCGGUCGGCGUCACUUGCAGCUAAAUUCCAAAUAUCCAGCUCUUGUUUAUCCUUCAAUAUCUCAACUGCGUUGUAUUUGGCCAUGAAAUUGACGUUCUCAAUAAGUUUAAGUUGCUCCAUGGCAAUUUCAUAGUCGGUUUUCUUCGAUGGAUCGCGGCCAGAACGAUUCUUGUUCGGAGAACUAACUGAGGCACUCGUGCUGGAGCUCUUCUUCCGACUAACCAGUGACUCGAUGCUUUCACAGACCCUGAGAUAUCUAUCGGUCACUGAGCCAGAAGCGGUGGACAUGGGACUACAGCCAGAGCCAUCACCCGACUUCCGCUUUCCUUUCCCCUUUCCUUUUGCUUCUUUCGGCCCUCGCACCUCAAUUUCAGCUUCCUUGUCCCUGCUGGACCUUGAUCCCUUUCCCCGUGCAAGCCGGGCUGUAGUCUCCAUUUCUCGCUCAUCGGCUGAAGUACGGGGCUCGUUCUCGAAGCCAGAACUGAAGUCUCCCGUCGCGCCUUGGUUGACGAAGACUUCCUCAAGCAAAUGAUAGACGGUGCAGUCAUUUCGAAAUUUGCUGUAUUUUGGGUUGACCUGACAAAACAAAUUCAGCCAAAAUAGUUUUAAUGGAAUAUACACGUAUGAAAUGACAGAACAGUUUAUAUACAAAAACAAAAGGCACAUAAAAUGGUUAUACCUGCUCCAUCGCGGCCCAUUGGCUAUCAUCCAUAAGCCAUGUAAACUUCUGGCUAUCCUAACCCAUUCCCGUUCCACGCCUCUUAAAGGAAAUGUACAGCUUGGUCUCCCCGCGCAAUGCAUAAUACUUGCCCCUUAUACUAUCCUCGGUAAACGAGGUGCCGUACUGGCCAUUUAACCGGCGCCGGAUUUCGGGAACCACGUAGGACCCAAUAUUGUCCCUAAUUUCACCCUGUCUAUGCAUCUCAACAAGGUGCUCAGCAAACUUGAUUUCGUGCUGCCUAGAGUAAUUACAACGCUCCUUAUCUUGAUGGCGCCUUUGUUUUCUCAUCUUAAUAAGCCAUACACAAAUCCAUUUGAAAAAACAAAUUGUAAGCAGCUUUUUAGAAAGGAAAACAGAUUGUAUUGCAUAAGCAGCUAAAUUUUAUUUAAAGCACGUUUAACUACACUUUAUAGCCAAAUCUGUGGAUAACCCAAAUCUGUCAGCCAUUAAAUACACUUUAAAUAACCAAAUGGUUAAUCGAAAAAUACAGCAAUAACCAAGGUUUAAAUACUAGACAAUCAUGUAUUGUAAUGAGGAUCAAGCCAAAUCUGUUAACAAAAUCUAAAAAACUAUAACUAAAAAAGAUUAAAUUGAGCACCCAUCCAACAUAACACUAGCAACUCAGGAACAAAACCAGUUUUGGUAAUGUGAAGUUUCGCUUUAGAGUCAAGAGUUAUGACAAAAACUGAACUAAAUAACAAAUGCUAAUUCUGCAUAGUGAAAUCCGACAAUAAUAUUCAAGGCAAUGAACAAAAAUGUUCGAAUUUACUGUUUCAUGGGACAAGGAAGAAGGUCCAACUUUAGAAGAGUCAGCCCCCAAACAUAUUAUGACUAAAAUGGUGUUUCACACACAAAAUUAGGCAAAAACAACUACAGGAGGUACAAUGGUACCUUGUAGUAGUUAGAAAGGCACUUCCGAAUAUCGUUUUCCGCCCAAUCAGACCUGGUUGAAAGAGAUUUCUGGAUCCCAAUCGGCUUCAAUGCUGUGUCAACAACAAGGAUCGUCAAAUACUAGACAACCAUACUAUAGAAUGCACUGAACAAAGGGGAAAUUGGCAAAUAUACCUUUGGCAGAACGGCGGGUAACAGGGGGCAUGAAAUCCUAGCCAGCGGCAAUAUAGAGCGGUAAAGCACCCUGUAUAAGCGAAUGGACAGCAAGGAGAAGUUAGACUGCUCUAUAAAUUCAGUUGCUUUUGGGAAAUCAAACUGCCCUAAAAUUUGACUCUCGACAUCUCAUCGCGCAAGUUUUAAGUAAUAAAAUAGCUACAUAAAUAUUUGGAACAUGUAGCAACAGCCGUCGAAUAUUCUGUCCAGGUUUCAAUCAAGAGAAAAUAUUAUGCGACAACCGAAAGUUUCAGAAGUAAGCAAAUUAUAGACAACUAAGGAACUCAAAUUGAGUUAACUUUCCACAUCCACAAAAGAGAAAAAGAAAGUGCUAAUUCAAUCAUCAAAGAGGGAAAAAUGGUAAGCUUUUUGAACUAGAGAUCAAUCUGGAUGCUAUUCUUCUUGAUUUAGUUAGAGUUAUGAGUGCAAUCAGAUCAGUUGUCCUUAACUUGUUGAGUGCACACACAGAUGACAAGAAAUUGAAGAAUAAAGAUGAGUUCUCUACAAUCACAUAUAUACUGCUCCUGCAGAUUCUCCUGAGAUUAAUCUAACAGGUACACAAAAAAGUGAUGCAAUACCACCAAUAUCAAUCAUACCUCCUAUCAAAAAAUUGAUAGAGAAUGUUGACAUGACAAACAGGAGGUACCUGAUGCCAAAAACAACACCUACCAAGCAUCUUUACUAAGACGAAUAAUAGGAAAGGUCUAAGCGUACUGAAAUGGUGAUUGUUGAUGACUACAGCCAGUUCAGUCUAACAAAAAAGCGGUUUACAGGGUGAUAAUGAGACAGGUUACAUGUUGGAUUAAGAGUACAAUGCUCCCUUUGAACUUCUAAAUCUUUGUAAUCCUACAUGACUUCGCAUAAGUUUUACAAUUUACUUGUAAUCUAAUAGAUGAAAAUGGACAUUAGAGCUCUCAUGCAUCAACCAAGACUGUAACGUAAGCUUUAAUUUGCAUUCAGAAGAGAAAGUGAACAUGUCUAGACCAAACUUAAUUAAAAGUAAACACCACAAACAAUUUAUUGGGAUAUGCUGCAUGUCAAACUAGUUAGGCAUUCAUUGCAAGCACGACCUUCUGCAGCUAAAAAUUGGUACUUUGAAGUAUUCAUUAAUAGCUUUCUAUGGAAAAAUUUACAUGAAAUUGGUACAAGGCCGAGCUAACCACAAUCACAUCAUAUAAUUUACAGUUUGGACAAGACCAGGAUUUCACCUCGAAAGUUAUCCAGAGAGAAAAUAAGUGAUAUAAUCUGAACGAUUCUCUAUUUUGGAAGGGGAUAAACAAAUCAAGCAAUUUCCAGGAUUUGUCCAUUCGGUAAUAAAGGUAUAUAAUCUGAACGAUUCUCAAUAUGAUAGAUUGAGUACUGGUAGGAAGUAAAUCAAAUUCAAAAACAAUGGACUUGGUGCUGUUCCUUCCAUUAUUGAAAUCUCAGACCAAUACCAAGACCAGGACAAAGUACAGGACAAGAAAACUUUAAAAAGAGCUCCCAUCUCUUCUGAAAUCGCUCCGACACAGAAAGCAUGAUACAGAGCUAACAAGCUCCCCUUCCCCUUCCCCGUUUUUCACAAUUCCUCGGACAAAUGCAUCAAUUCGACUGAGUAUGAGAACCAGGUAAAACAAGCAGAAUGUAAUUACUGCGUACCAUCUUAAAUUAGCAUCCAAGAUUUCCAGGAAGGCCUGAAUAUAAUGGUUUUACUUCAGUUAUUACAUACAGAAAAUGAUAUAAUCAUAGGAGCGAAGGAUUUGAUAUCUUUGUUGCUGACCUAAAGAUUUGAGACACCCAACAGACUCAUGUUCGUGUGAUAAGCUUCCCCAAGGUCAAAACGCAACACUCCCACCCUGGUUUACCUCAUAUAAUCAGCCCUGGAAAAGGUAAAAUAAGCAGGGAAACCAGAGCUUACCGUAUUCGACCUGCACAGCGAAGAUGCUGUACCGUCGGUUGCUUUUGAGCUGAAGACCCGCCGUGGUUAAGUGUCUCAAUCGUAGGAAAAGGGCUGUGAUCGCGGCGUAAAUGGGCUCAGAUUCACGUCAUUGGUUGCAGAUUCCGGUGAAAUUUUGCAGAUCUUGAAUCCACUCUGGUUUGCUUGUUUUUUUCAAGAGCAGCGGCUAGAAUGUUUGCUUGUUUGGGAAAGUGAUAUGAGGGUUGAAUGGGUGUCAACUGUCAACGAUAGAUGCAGUCCGAGAACAAGUCUUUGGCAAUUUUUGUCAAAACGACGUAGUUUUGUCAUUUUUAACUGUAGACUUUAUUGUAACCAAAAUACAAUUAGAGGUUGUUUUUGAAAGACAAAAACAGUUUUAGCAAAAAUUGACAAUCCAAACGGAGCCAAACAUUUGUCCUUUGCUUCUCUUAUUAUUUGCCUCAAUAUUGUAUCACAAUUCAGUAGCAUACAGAAUUGAAUACAAAACAGAGAUCUGAAUUGGUCGUUGUACGGAGCAACAUAGAUGCCCCAACGACCUUUUUAGUUACGGAGCAGGCGACGUUUGUCUUUUGCUUUUGGUAAAUAGUACAAGAAGCAAGAGCUAUGAAGCAAGCACUACUUUAUAGCUCCAGUUGUUUUUGUUUAUGUGCUUUGGGGAGUGUAGAGGAAAAAUUGGCAGAGCCCAGAUAGGGAAAGGGGGGAGAGAGAUGGGGAAGAGCAUUUGUGAUGUGGGAGUGGAAGACUUGGUUGGAGCAGGCCUGUCAGUUGAGGAGGCAAAGGUUCCAAAGGCACCUCAAAGAUUCUAUUUUUAAGGUUAGCAGAAAUAGUGAUAAUGGGGAGGAGCCGGUUGCCCCAAGAAACUAUGGAGGGAGCUGGCAGCCCAGAAAUUGUUGAAACCAUGGCAUCCACAUGCUCUUCAUCAGCUCAUUUACUAUUCUGUUUAUCAUAACUAUGAUGAGUCCACCAAUGGCCUCCUAUCUAUUGGUUCCCUUCACUGUAAGCACUGUAUUGAUGAUUCUUUUCAAGUAUUGGUUGAUUUUUGCGAUUUUGAUUGGGUUUGACAGUUUGAAAUUUUGAAGCUUUUCUGCUUCUUCUUCUUCUUCGUUUCUUUUUUUGGAAUUUAUGAAAGAUUAAUGCAGUUGAAAAGUUUGAAUCUUGUGACAUUGUAUUAGUAUGGGAAUUCUGAGGGACUAUGCUGUCAGGUGAUAAGAAAGUCAAGACUUUACCUAACAAAAAGAAAUGCAAGUCAGACUUUCAAUGUUGAUUCUCGUGUUCAAAAAAUUUUGUUGUUAUAAAACGUCCAACUCUUUUAAAAUAGAAAUGUAAAUUUCAAGGUUUCGAUCUUGAAGUUUUUGCUUUUGUGACAGACAGUAAAGUUCUUUUAGGGCGUAUA